This 47084-nucleotide long non-coding RNA is filed under the name Cinara cedri. Lineage: Eukaryota; Metazoa; Arthropoda; Insecta; Hemiptera; Aphididae. The record is from RNAcentral.
GUUGACCGACGGUAGACAUCACAGGAUAUUGUACAAGAGACACUCGGCAAUCGAUCCUGUGAAACGUUGGAUACCGGCGGCGGGACGGAUCCGGCGAUAGCGGUGGUCGAAAAUGCGUGAGUCGCAAUCCGGUUUCGGCUAACAUCUCUAGAAAUAUUAUGCAACUUACAAACGAAUCUACGGGCAAACGGCGAUCUCAGGUGAGAGUAAAAUCGAUGUUUUUAUCUCUUUCUUUCUCUCUAAUCGAUUAACAUGAACCGUAAGACUCGCAUCAUCUUGAAAAAGUAUUCAUUUUUUUGGGAAUUUGUUUUUUUAGACAAUUUAAAGAACAAAACAGCUUUUAAACUUUAUAUUGCCGUCGUUUUUUGUCAUUUUUAUUUUUUGGGGUGACACUACUAACUAAUUUUGAAAUUAAAUGGAAACAGAAAUGGCAUUUUAGUUUCUUAUAAGAGUGUUUACAAUUUUACGAAACAAAUUCUCUCUCUAACCAAGACUAAGGCUAAUAAUUUUUUAAAAAAAAGUGCUGAAAUGAAAUACACGCAGUGGUUGUUGAUAAACAAAAAAAAAAAAAAGAUGAGAGGCUAAUACUGUGUGUGGUUAUGGUUAGGUUAGGUUAAUUUAAUCUGUACGCUACGAUAAACUAUUGCUAACGGUACUGAUUAGUCUUAUUAUUAAUAUCGCAUUUAUUUCUUAGUCACCAUCGUUACCUAGAAAUCAAAAAAAACGUGCAGUUUUUUUUAAUUCAUUGAGAAAAAUAUAAACAAAUUCAAAAAAUGACCACAAAGAUAGUAAAAAUUUAAAUAGACGUUUGAGGAAUUUAAGUUACACUCAAAAAGUUAUACUAUUAGAUAAAUAAUAAUGUCGUUAAAAUAUUAGCAUACAUAAUUGUGUUGAUAAUUUUUACUAUACAUACUUUUAUUGUUACUUUAUUAUUUUUAUUGACACUAUUUUUGUUCCGAUAUGGACAUUGAUAUUAUGUAUAACAUUUUGUAACUUUUUUUUGAUAUUUCUUAUUAGAACGCGAAAUUCAACCUGGCUUUUAAAAAUCGUCUAAAACGGCACGUAAUCAAAAUAAAUGUAUCGCUAACUAUAAUAAUUUAACGAUGCGUUAUAUUUUACGGGCAUUUCAGCUGCUAGGUACUAAAUUAGCUCUAAUACAACGCGAAUAAUUUAUAUAUAUUUAUAUAUCAUAAUUUAUAAGUGUUUUUAAAGACAUUUUCCGCGGCUUUCUUAAAUGAUACUUACAUCAACGAAAUAUAUGUCAUAAUAACUCUUUUAUGCAAUUAGCACUUUCAACAUGACGAUAAUUCACUAUAGAUUUGUGUGAAUACGUAUUUGCGGAAGUUUCAGAACGUACAGCUAUUUAAAAUUUAGUAAAUAUAUCAAUUUUGUGUCGUUUAUUAACAAACACCAAAACGAUUUUCAUAUUUGUAUUGUUCAUUAAUUACAAUAAACGUCACCGUGUUAAAUUUUCGAGCAUUUUCGCUGGGUCAAACGUAUCCACAAAACCGAAUAAAAACUAAAUCGCGAACAUUUAAAAUUGCUAUUAUUAGAUCACAAAUCGCCAGAAUAUUUUUACCAUGUCUAGAAAGGGCUAAUAUAAGUACUCGGUAAAUAUUUCAGGUAUCUAUGAUUAUUUAUAAUUAAACUACCACCAAAUACAAAACCGAAAAUAACACAAAACCGUUCUUGAGUAAAUUUUUCAGUUUUUUUCUCAGGUUUUCUCAGUUAUAAAGAAAACUAAAUAAUGGUCUUCUCAAUGCAGCUAACUAGACACAUUUUUUAACUAAAUUCAAUUUGCAUCCAGAACCACCCUUGAAGUUGAUUAUCGUUGAUCGUUGAUGAAGUGCAUACAGCAUACCUGACUUUCGCCCAUCUGUAAAAUACAUUUCGAUGUAUUAAUUUAAUAGAAAUUUCUGAUGAGUGAAAUUUUAAUUUUUGUUUUUUUAAUAUAAAGUAAUGUCAGUAAUCAGACCGGUUAUACAUUUGUAUUUUGUGUUUACUCGUAUAAGCUUAAAUGCAAAUCGCGUAUUAAAUGUAUGCAUUAAAAAUGUGUUAUGGUAUUAUAAUACUGUCAAAUUGUUCCGGCUAUAUUGACUAUUGAGUUUAAUAAAUAAUUGUUGAUUUCUAAAUUGAGCAGGUGAGCAGGUGACCUUGAUAAAUUAUAAAUUGAAAAGUUAUACGGUAUAAAAAUCGAUAUAUAUAUAUAGUUUUAUAAUGUCGUGCUCAUCUACGCCGGUGUAACUUAUAGGGGGAAAUAGAGGAAAUAGGCUUCUUUAAGCAUUUAUAUGGUCCCCAAAAACCAUGAAUAAUCAUCUAACAGGUAUUUUUGUGGUCAGGAGGAGGGAUCCGCCAGUACGUUAAAGCACCCUAGUAAAUUAAAAAUCCUAGUUACACCACACCCAUGCUUAAAGUAUUCGAGUAAAAUAUUUUUAUUUUGGUCUUAUCCAUAUAGAAAGAAUGUGUGCUUUAAGUUAUUGUAAAAUUCUAUUUUAAAAAACGACUGUUUUUAAAAUACAUAAAUUCGCGUAUCACGGUCGGGGAAAAAUAUAAAUUAUUUUGUAGUUAAAAUUAAUAAAAUGUUCGAUUAAAAUUUAUCGAAAAAUGUUUAACCGAAAACCAUCCAGAAUAAGUUUUUUAUUUGUAAUAUUUAUCCACUAUAGUAUUAUUGUUGUAUAUAGUGUACCUAUGUAUAUGUAUAGUUAAACUAAAUUUACGAUAUUUUUAGCCCUGAACGGAAUAAGUUUGAACAUUGUUAUUACGAUACACGAAUUUAUUAUAAUAUCUUGUUGUACAUUUUUUUUUGAAAUUUAUAUUAUAAUUUAGCAUAAUUUAGCGAGUAGUAAAAUAAUAAUAACUUCAUCGUUUAUUAUUAGACGACGCGACGUGUAAUUCGAUUAUAAACGGUAAUAGUAUUCGCUUAGGUGAAUCCGACGCCCGUGCCAAUUUAAUUUACAAAUUUUUAUUUUUACCAUUUUAAAAGUAUAAUGUUUAAACAAAUUCGUUUCGAAACAGAAAUCAAUAAUAAUAAAAGAAAAUGAAAGAUGCAAUUUAGUCUCCCCGUCUGUCCGUAUCAACCCCGUCACCCUUUAUAUUAUUUCACCAGCGAUGUCUCGCCGUACAGUAAAACCGUGUAUGCUAUCAUUCAUAAUAUAAUGAAUAUCGAUACACGAUUUUCUAUCAUUAUUUUAUGUAUUCCGUGUCGCCAAUAUUUAAAGUUUUAACCUAAGAUAGCCAAUUCGAUUUUCGUUGCGAAAUUACAAAAUAUGCAUAUGCACUCUGAUCAACUUUAUCCGUCUUGGCGUUUCAAAACUUAUUUAAAAAAAAGGCAAGUUCAAAAAUUACAUCGGAUCAUAACAAAAUUAUAAUAGAAAACUAUCGGAAUCUAGUAAAUAUUUGGAGAAAGCGAUUUGUUUUGGCUUAUAAAGAAAAAAGUCACAUUAAAAUCAUUAAAUAAUAAUAAUUCCCUAAUCUUCUUAAUAUUUAUUAGUAAAGAGACACUAGACAAAAAGGAGAGGAAUUCCGUCCCCUACAGUACGAAAACCGACUAAUAUUAUGACGUAAGGUAUAAUAAUGCAUGGCGGUAACCGUGAUUACACUUAGUAGUCUACGGGUAUAAUAUUAAGCAUUCAUAAAAUAUGGGUAUUUUCUGAGUGGAGCGAGAAAUGUAAUGGUUUUUACAAUGAUGUUUUUUUUUAUUUUCUGUGAACAAAUUUUCUACCAGAAAUUUCGCUCCGAUUUUCAAGUACAGUAUUUUUCUGAAAGGAAACCAAACUGGGACGGUACUUUAAGGAGGUAGUUUUUUCAUUUUCUAAGCGGUUUUCAAAAUAAAUAUAAGAAAAACGGGAAAACUUACGAAAUUUAUUAUUUUCAAAUCACAAAUAUUACGGCCUUCCAAAACAUGUAUAGUCGAACUCCGCUCAGAAUCGGUUUUCAUUAACAAUGAUUAAUCUUUACGUAUUAGAUAUACAUUACAAUUCUUCUCUACUUUCCCAAAUUCUCACCUACAACAGUGGUCCACCCGUCGUGUGAAGUACGGCCAGUUGUUUAUUUAUUUUUCCUAGACCUUAAGCACACCGAUACGCACACCGCGAUCUCAAACGUUUGCGUGUGCCGAUUAUGUAAACACACGUAUUGUAGGUAAUUGAUUAAUAACAAUAAUAAUACUGCGCGUGUGCUCACUCGCGGUCCGAGGAGACGAGGCUGUCACGAAAUCGACAACAUUGUAAAUAAUAUUAUUAUAAUUUAUAAUAUUACGUUGAGUUCAUAAAAUUAUCAUAAUUUAUCGACGAGAACCUAAUAAUUAUCGUGACGACCAGAAUAAUAUUAUAACAACAUUAUUGGACGUUCGCGAUUCGUCUCGCUUGUAGCGUUUGUAGUCUUUUGUAACGACAGCGAAAGUUGAAAUGCAAAAAAUUCGAAAUAUAUUAUGUUAACUAAUAUAUGAGUAUCCAGACUAGAAUCAAAACUGAACAUGAGUUAAAGACACUGUUUUAUAGGAUUUUUGAAGGCACGUCUGAUUUUUUAAUUAGUUCGUUUCAAAACGUACAAGAAUAGGUAUGAAUCGAAUCGGAAAGUAGCGGUGUAUGUCGAAACUAAAUUGCUUUCAUUUUUAACACUUUGGAUUAUGUGAGUUUUGAUAUACGAGGUCGUAUUUAAGAGGUUUAGUAUAGGAAAUGUUCACGACAUUUUUGAUGAUGUAUCAACUUGAACAUUUUCGAAUUCAUUUCGAGAUCAAUUUAUAAGCAGUCCCGUGUCGUCAUCACAAUUGUUUAUCGCGUUAUCGUAAAAUGAAUUAUAAAUUGUUUUUAAAAUCUCUUUUGCAAGGAUCAACUUUACUAUUAUUGAAUUUAUAGAGGCAUUUAAGUUAUUUCAGAAAACAUAAGGAAUGUUAUCAGUGUGUUAACGUGCAUAUUUUUUUGAUAUCACUAUUCAAUAAUUUUUAAAUAAAAACCCCAAAAAAUCUAAAUGUUUGCAAGCACAUUACUUGAUUGUAUUUUUGUUAUCAAUAUAUUGAAUGUACAUAUAGUACAGACAGAAUUUUUCUUUAAAUGUCGUGGAAAUUUGGUAAUUCUUCUAUAAUAAAAACAAAUACAGUGCGGGUAAAGUCGUCCCGCCUAUAAAAAAAAAAAAUAGUGCAUCGGACUAAACAAUUUAAUCAAAUUAAUUAUAAUAAUACGCUGCAGGUUACAAACAGCUGACAGACCUCAUGCCAAUGCAAACGCCUCUAAACCUCCGGGUCGUUUUAAACAACGAGUAUCCAGUACAAUAUACAAAGUGUUGUCUCAACACGGAAACCAAUUUCGACUUUCUACCAUAGUAAGUAGUAUAUUACUUAUAGCGGUUCUGUAACUAAAAUCUUGCAUUUCGCAUAUUAUUAAUUUGCAUAGAAUCUGCACGUUUUUCUAUCUAUAAUUAGCUACUGAUUUCACUAUAUUUUUUUGAAAAAAAAAUAAAUACAUUUUCAGCUAAAUACGUGAUUUUUUUAAAAAUAAUAUAUUUAUACAUUAAUUUUGUACAGUAAUUGUUUACAAUUUUUUUAUCAUUCUAAAAUAGGUUUUAUAAAUUAUCACGAAUGAGAAAACAAGUCAAUUGUAUUUAGUAUUUUGUAUUUUUAUCUAUAAUAGUAUUGAUGUUUACUGUGUUUGUACUUCAUGCUGUACCGUGUAUUUUAAGCAAAUGUCCGAAGACGUUUAACAAGACGGUUACAGGACUACUAUAAACAUGUAUAUUAUACUUCUAAUUAUCACGAUCAUUUGUUACGCUUCAUUCGAACUCGUAGGUUUAAAAAUAAAAAUAAAAAUUUAUUGAUAUCAAAGUACUCUCGAUACCAUCUGGAUCGUGCGGGGCCGAAAACUGUUCGUCGUACCUACUCGCAACAUUAUGAAUUGCCGACUGUCGACAUUCCACGUUGCCGCAUAUUUUUCUGAAUUUAAAAUACGACGUUUGUUUCCGUGAUGCAUUUUCUGGAUCGAAAACGUUACGCCGUGGGAGGUGUUAUUAUAAUAAUUAAAUAAUAUUAUAUCAAUUUUUUACCGUCGUCGUCGUCGUAUAGCGUAUAAUGCAAUCACGGAAUUAUUAAAACACGUUCCGGAAAUUUUCUGGACUACCGGUGUUAUAGUCACAAACACGUCACAUCGAUUAUGCCGAGGAAAAAUAACAUCACUUAUAACUGUAAUAUUUUUAUACAACGUUUUACGAUUUCGUACGCUUUAGAUUUUAUAUUAUUUUUUUUCCAAGACGUUGAACUGAUAUAUAUAUGCGGUAAGUGUAAAAAAAUAGUUCAAUAUUUAUUUGCAUUAUAUAACAUUAGCGCAUUAUAUUACGUCAUAUUAUCAACCGAGUUUUAGGUAAAUUAAUAUAUUGUCUUGGAAUGUAUCUUUGUCAUGUCCUGUCUAAUCCGCUUCCAUUUUGAUACUAACGGUACUCCCGUGGCGAUUGAACGACAGAUCGAGAUAAGCCCUGUCGUCUUUAUCACAUUUAGGUCGAGCCAUCACGAGACGGAACCUGUGUCAUUUAGCGAACCAAACGACGGACCUGGAUGACGAACCUCGUAGUACCGUAUUGUUGUUAUACGAUAAGCGAUUCCGGCUAUGAUGUACCUAUUUCGACUUUGCCUUGGUCUCGACAGAUGUGUGUGCCCUAGGUAGAAGUGGACUCUAACUUCUUCUUCAUUUACUAUUUAUGUUUUAGUGGACAUAUAGUUAGCAAAAUGUUUACUGGAUGUCCAAUUCACACCCAAUUGUGUUUCUAUUUAGACACAGAAAUGAGAAAACCUCAAUAAAAAAAACUACCUGGCAGUGUGAAGCUAAGAACACACUAAUCACACGCUACAUGUUAACACGUCUUUACAUACCACGCUAUGGUUUUACGUGUAUGAAUGUGUGAUGAUAAUGUGCACAUUAAUAUAACGUGUGGAAUAUUUCGCACAAUACGAUUUGUAAAAUUUACAAUUAAUUAUACACGCUUAAUAUGAGUACUAUUUUGUAAUUUGAAUGUCGGGUAGGUAAACGAUUAUUCGGUUCAAAAUAUUUUAUUAUGAAAUAUGGUCCAGGCAGUGAUUAGAAAGGGGAGUUUGAAGAAACGGUCGUUGGGACGUAUUGUGUUUUAAAUCAGUCCUGUAAUCGCAGAUUUUGGGGUUCACCCUGUUAACGAAGAAAGAGUUCUGAACAUUAUAAUCUUCAGAAAAACCAUUGUAUAAAUCUUUAUGCCUCAUGAAUGUUUUUUUUUUUUUUUUUUUUUUUUUUUUAUUAAAUUAUCUUCAAUUAAAGUUGAUAUUAUCGUAAAUUAAAAUAAAACCUAACAAAAUUGACGGCAUAAUAGUCGGCGGACAAUGAGAGAAACGCCGCUGUUUUGUAUGAACACGGCACGUGUCGCACGUUUUCAAAUAAACAAAUCGUUUGAAUCGCGUGGCGCUGAACGGCGCUGGAUGCCGUGUGGUGUUAACGACGUGAUCAACAAUAGCGAUCGGUACACUAAAAAUAAUUGUACAGUACGUGUUUAGAGGCAUUUGACGUGCUACGCGACGUGACGCGUGAAUAGCGUGGUCCUCGGCUCACAGCGCAUCGUAUUUCGACCGUGUAUGCGUCGCGCAGCCCACAGCAAACGCUCUGUUUAUACGACCACGACCACUCAAGAUUGAUGGUUUUGUUGUUGUCUUUUUUCAUUUCUUCUCGGUGUUCGUUUUAUUUUCGUUGCAAUAAUUUUAUGAGUACACGCGACAUAACCGAUGGUCAUUACUGUGUUUACUGUAAUAUUCAUCGACAUAAUUAUACGAGUGUAAGACGCGUAUAUAAUGCCGCCGACAAUUAUAAUAAAAUAACAAAGUAAAAAUAAAAUUAUUUAAACGGUCAACACUCGUAAAUAAAUAUAUAAAUAAAAAAUGUAUGUAUAAAAAAUAAAAUAAAUAAAUGAAUCAAUGCGUCGCCCGGAAUAUUAUGAUCAGUAUAUUAAACGGUCGGUUUCGAAUUAAAAUUCAUCAUCAGAUAUAUCACAGUCAAAAAGUAAAAGUCACUGAAUAUAAAAAAAAAAAAAAAAAAAUGAAAUAAUACAUAUCUAGAGAAAAAAUUGUACAAAUUGGUCGUUUUACAUAGAAAAAUGUAUUUUAAUAGGAGAGAUUAUUUAAAAUUAGGUUAUUAUUAGACAUAGAUAUGUUAAAAAGUAUAAAUUAUUUGGUUAUUAUUUAUUAUCUAAAAUUUAUUAAUAUCAAAUAUUAUUAUUUUUGAAAUCGGUUUGAACAUUUAAAAUUCCAUUAAAAUUAAUUUUUUUAAUUUUAUUGAGUAGGUGUAAUUCUUUUAAAACUGAGUUAAUGUAAAUGUUAUUUUGGGUAUUUAGUAUUUCUAAGUCUGUAUUAAUAUCAAAAUUUCUAUUAUGGUUAUUUUUUAAAACGUGUUUAGCGAAAUUUGAAUUAGAGUCAGUCUUUUUUAAUUUAUAAAAUUAAAAAAGACUUUCACAUAAAAGAAAAAUUAAACAUGAAUACUGAUACUACUAAAAAAAACAUUUAUGAUUUUAUUGAUAAAAUUAAUAAAAUAAUAUUAUGUCAGGUUACAAAAUGAUUUCUCUUGACGUUAAAAAUGUAUAUACAUCCAUUCCUAAACACGAUACAGUAAAUUUUUUAAAAAAUAAACGUAUACGUAAUAAUAAAUUUAAUAAAAACGAGUACAAGAAAUUAUUCAGUCAAUAAAUAUAAUAAUUAAUCAAAACUAUUUUCAAUAUAAUAAUAAAUUAUAUUCGCAAAAAGUUGGGUUAGUUAUGGAUGGGUGGUCCUUUAAAUGCUCUUUUAUUUGAAAUUUACAUGCAAAAUUAUGAAACCAGUAAUAUUAUUAACAACGAAAUAUUUAGUUCAUAUAUAAAAGCAUAUUAGAGGUAUGUUAAUUUUUAAAUUUAGAUUUAUGAGAAAGUCUUUUUUAAUUUAUAAAAUUAAAAAAGACUGCUUCUAAUUCUAAUUUCGGUAAACACGUUUUAAAAAAUAAUCAUGAUAUAAGUUUUGAUAUUAAUACAGACUUAGAAAUAUUAAAUACCCAAAAUAACAUAUACAUUAAUUCAGUUUUAAAAGAAUUACACAUACUCAAUGAAAUAUAGAAAAAUGAUUUUAAUGAUAUUUCAAAUGUUCAAACCGAUUUUAAAAAUAAUAUCUUAUAUCAAUAAAUUUUAGAAAAUAAAUAAUAGCCAAAUAAUUUAUACUUCUUAACAUAUCUAUGUCUAAUAAUAACCUAAUUUUAAAUAAUUUUAUAUUCGAUGUAAAACGAAUUUGUAAAUUUCUUUUUUCUAUAAUUUCUUUCAAUUAAUUUUUUAUAUUCAGCCGCGUUUUACAUUUCGACUGUGAUAUACCUGAUGAUGAAUUUUAAUUCAAAUCGGAUCGUAUAGUAUAUUUAUCGUAAUACUCCAGGCGACGCAUUGAUGCAUUGAUUUAUUUUAUUUUUAUACUUCCUUUUUUUAUUUAUUUUAGUAAUUUUAUGUCUAUAGUAUUUAGUCGACACAAAUGCAUUUUAUGUCGACACAUUGUAAAAAUAAAUAGAACGCACAAUUUUUGUAAAUCGUUUUUUUUUCCUACCCCAGAAAUUGAACUCUAGCGACGCCCACACGCGGAAGUCAAUUAUUCGCUAUUACUCUUAUCAUUCAUUAUAUAAUGGUACAUUAAUUAUUUUUAUUUAUUCCAGGAAAAUUUCAAUUUUAAAUCGAUGUUACGUCAUCAUUAAAUUAACUAUUAUUAUUAUUAUUAUAACUAUUUCGCACAAAACCAGCGCGCAUUAAAUGACGAAAAGUGUUCCCCUAGUAAUUUACGGUCGGUUUAUCGGGUCGUUUGACACCGUGUGUCUUAUCCGCGAAGGUGGGCGAGUUGAUAUUAAUAAUAAUUAUUAUUGACUUAAGCUUGUUAAGUUAAAAUGCGAUACAAGGCCGUUAAGUUUACUGCUGUGUUGAUCUUUAAAUAAGUAAUAAGAAAAAAAAAUAAAAAUAUAUUCCAUAUAAAUGUACCCUAUGCUAUAUUGAUUCGUUAAAAUUAUAAUAAUAAUUAUUAAACAAUAUAGAUGAUAAAUUAUAAGAAACUAAAAUUCAUAUUUUUCCGCGUUCGGAUACACGUAUAACUGAGUACAUAUUUUUUUUGUUUUGUUUUAUAAUAAUAAUAAUAAAAACAACUCUACAGAGUCGUAAUACGGGUCUAAAGCAGUGACGUCAUCUACAUAUUUCGUAGACCGGGAUUUACCAAACUGAUGAGAAAAUAUAUUUUUCCCAAAACAAAUUUGUGUCUCUUCGCUCGAAUAUUGUCCUUUGUAUUAUGCACAUUCAUUUUCCAUAACAGGUAAACAUUCGUGGCCUUUUAAUUAUAGAUUUUGUUUACAAGUUAAAAAUCGUUGUUUAAAGUCGUGCAAAUCGGUCGGAAAAUAGGAAAACUGAUAUUUCGACCAUUAAUUAAUAAAUUAUCUGUGAGGAUGUAGGCACAAACAUAUUUUGUUCGAUAUUUCGUCAUUUUUUCACACAUGAUAAAGUAGCCAAAAAUCUACCGAAAUACUAUGGCUAAAAGUUAGUCCGGGGAAAAUGCCCAAAUUACAAAUUGGGAAAAUGGUAUCUGGGGAGGGGGGGAUUUCCCCUCACCAAAUGAUAUCACUAGUAUACAGUUUUAGACCAUAAUAAUAUAAUACAAGUAGCUAUCUACUAAAUAUUGUCUGGUGUUGUUUAACACUCAAACAUCCAAAUAUUGUGUAUUAUGACACAUAAUGUCAUAUGUGUUGUGUAUAUAUUAUACAUUUUUGUUUAUUUAUUGUUACCCCGCGGACAUUCAUAAUUAUUAAUGUAAUUUUUUUUACAUUUUUUUAUCGUUUUUAACUAUAUUGACACAUUAAUCGACCAAGAUUUUAGUGAUUUUUGCUUUAUAUUUUUUCCGUUCUCUCUAUAACGGAUAUAUUUGACACCAAGUUUAUUCGAUUUCACGUUUUCAAAAACUUGUAAAACCGUUUCGAUUACUCGUUCUUCCGACGUAAAUUAUUUACGCAUGAACGGCAACGGGGCACAGUGUUUCAAAAUACAAUUUUCACAGAUUUCGUCCCCGAGAAAGUGGUUUAAUCAUCUAAAUUGUUGGGUCGUAAAUCAAAUACGGAGAUUUUUAUUUUUAUGAUUUAAUCUUUAUAAUAUUAUCCCGCGCAUAAAGAAAAUUACUAAAAAAAACUGGACAUUUUUUUUUAGUAUAGAUAUUCGUGUGACUGAUAAAAAAUGUUUAGUGUAGACACAACAAACAUGGUUGCCUGUGAUCAACGCUAUGCACUGUCUAUUGUGUAAAUGUAUCGGACAGUAAAUAAACAAAAACUGAUUUACUGGUAUAAAAUAUAUUUAUACUCGUUAUUUAUUUAAGCGAAUUUAGCAUACGGCGGCACCCAUUUGUUUUGUUUUACAUUUAUCCAUGCUAUUGAUGGCGAUUCUGUAUUAUGAGUUUAACAGCAUUUGCAUAUUGAAUAUGUCGUUGUUUGUGGCUUUCGCCGAUAUUAUGUUCCUUGUAUAAAACUUUCUAUAACGCCUUACGACUUUGUGUCGAGUCUCAGCAUCGAUGUGUCGCACAAACUGAUAAAUCGUAAACCAAAAUAACAAAAACUGUAUUUUUAUAAUACACGGUUAAAACAAUUAAAUGGUUUUAACAUAAUAUGUCAAAUUUAAUAUUUACAUUACAAGUUGAUAUUUUCUCCUGGUACGCUAAGCUUGUGUCGGUUGGAGAGAGUCUAUUAUAACAGAAAUUGUACUUAUAAUUACAAGUUACAUCGAGAACUGUUAAAUUAUUAGGGUAAGAAUAGAAUACAUCAGAAUAUAUUUAUAACAAUAAUCACAAUAACCCUAAUGAAAACAAGUAGAAUGAGACAUCAAUCAAACAAUCGCAUACAUAGUUUUUUUUAACCCUAGUUUAAAUUUAAUAUUACUUUCUAUUAGUUUAAUCUCCGUAGGUAGUUGGUUGUACAAUUCAAUACCUCUGUUAAUAAAAUUAUUGGCCAUUAGUUUUGUAUUUGGUUCGAUUAACCUUAAAUUACUACUAUUUUCUCCCUUUUGUUUUAUACAUACUAUUGAUCCCAAAUUAUUUUCUGAUUAUUUGUAUUUUCGUUACUGACAAUUUAUUGUGUAAUUGAUCGAUUGUUAAUAUUUUUAGUUUUUGAAAUAAAUCAUCCGUGCUAGAAAUUUCGAUUUAUAUAAUAAUUGUUCAUUAAAACUCUAAUCCUGUGAGUUAUAUUUAAUAGCUCUAAUACAUUUUUAUAUGCCGAACCGCAUACAAUUAAUCCAUACAUUAUUAUAGCUCGACAUAGAGCCAAAUAAACCAUUUUUAGAUUAGGGAUAUUAAGAAUAUACAUUAGCUCUUUAAUAAUAUAAAAACAUUUCACAAUCCGAAUAAUAAUCAUUUCUAUAUGACAUUUCCAUUUCAAGUACUCGACAAAAAUUACACCCAAGUAUUUGGUUGAACUUACUCUAGUUAUAGUCUUACUAUUUUUAUCACAUUAACCUGUUAUAUUUUUUUUUUUUUACAAUUACUUAUAUAUAAUUUUAUUUCUGUCUGCUGCGGCUAGUUACAUUUCGAUAUGGCAAAAGGAAUAAACCUGAUAUUACCAUUUAUUUACUAUUGUCAAUCCUAGGUUUGCUUUAUUUUCGACCUCAGUCCAACUAUCCCCCUCAAUGAAUAGCGCCGCAGCAUUCCCAAAACGUUACCAUCUAUUUAUUCUUAUAUUAAAUAAGUCAUUAACAUAAAUUGAAAAUAGUAUCGGACCUAACACUGUUCCUUGAUUGAUACCAUACUUAGCCAUACACGAGUAACUUGUCAAUAAUAUUUGAUAACUAUCUUAUCAAUUUUUUUUAUUAUAAUUGCAUGAUUUAGGUAAAUGCACGAGCAUAAAUCACUAAAUCAAGACCUCAUUUAUAUGAACGUUUUCGCGAAACCCUUUUUAUUAUAUUAUAAUUUAAUGUAGGUAUGCAUAAAAUGUGAUAUUUAUGAAUGAAUAAUUUAUCAUUCAUUAAAUUACGUUUCAAUGCUCAUAAUUAAAUGUACAUAAAAAAAAACACCGAAUAUAAUUUUUUAAAAAAAAUUAUCGAAUUAUCUUUAAUUUAUACCUACGCAGAGAUAUUAUUGUUAUCCGGGAAAAUCGCAAUUUAAAACGCAGUGUGGCGCGCGUCGGUGCGUCGACAUAAUAUCGGCUAAAGAUAGUUUUUAUAGUGCUGAUAUUUGUGUAGGUUUUUUUUUUUUUUUUAUGAAACAAUUAUAUAAUAUUAAACACGGCUUCGAGUUUUACCUACUUACUACUAUUACACGCCUUAUUGCCGGCACCUGUUAACAAACAAACAAAAAAAAAAAAUAAAAAAAAAAAACCGGCAUCGAUAGCUACACCAGCGAGCGUCCGGGGAACACGAUAAAAGUAAUCGAUUGUGUCACGAACGCUGCAGCUUCAGGGGGAGGAGAAUUAUUAAUGAAUAGGUAAUGCACAGAGGGAGUGGUCUAAAACAAGCGCCAUUUUAUAAAACAAUAUUGUACCGUACCAAUAUUAUUCAUUAGACAAAAGGGUCCUCGUCACGAUGACGCGCCAUAAUUAAAAUAUUUUCAUUUUCGCCAUAUUGGACGAUAAAUUGUUGCACGGCGUUAACAAAUAAAUGAAUAAUAAUUUGUGCGUUUGAUUAUUCGUUUGUUCUCCCUCCCCCCGCCUUAUUGAACAAAGUGUAAUAUUUAAGAUUUUAAAAAUUCCGUCGGUCAAAGACGCUCGGAAUAAAAAAAAAAAAAAGUAGGUAAUUACCUAUUGUUCUAUAUUGGCGGCGCUAAAAAUACGCGUUUCUAUUUUUUAAUAAAACGUAAGUCUUAUUGCGCGCCGCCAGCGUGAACAUUUUGAAAAACGAAGGGUUCCGCACGACAGCACGGCGACUGCGAAAUUGAUUUUCGAUAGUUUCGAGCGAAGCAAUAAUAGCAUAUUGCGCUACGCGAUUCGGCGAGACGCGGAAAAAAUAUCGAUACGGACUUGUCUGGUUCAACCGAAUUCCGGGCGAAAGAGUAGACGGGUCCGAUAAAUAUAGGAAUGGACGGUUUUUUUUCCUUUCUCCGAAACGAUUUCGGAAAGCCGACUCGUCUCGUUGCCGAACCCUAGUCCUUUGAAUUGACUCGAAACGCGUACUUUGUAAAAAAAAAAAAAAAAACGAAAAACCAACAUCGCCAUUUUCAGUCGUAAUGCUCCGGACGCAAAUAUUUCCCGUCGCCGUUCGAUCGAAACACGCUGCAAAAUACGUUCGUAAAUCGACGCCCGUAACGUCCGUACGGUUUUAUACCGGUUUCAAUGAUCAGUAUAAUAACACCUAUAAUAACCGUGUAACGCUUUAAUAGAUAUUGCCUUUAUCUUCACCGGUGUAAGAGAACCUAAUGAGUUCUGCCGGUGUAAUAUUACUCGUGUGUUAUACGAACCGUCCGCUAAUUAAUAUAUUUAUUCUUUUUCUGCCGCGAAACCCGAACAUAUUUCUAUAUGUUACUACGUUCUAUUGCCUCUUAAAAUAAUUGAUAUUACGCAUUUCACAUAAAAUUCCUCUCUUGUACCUAUACAUAUACAUAUAUAUAUAUAUAUACAAUAUACACACACGUGUAUAAUUUGAUACAACUGUGUAUAUGCUUGUAUAUGCUCAAUGGAUUAUUCCGAGUCGUUUAAUAUCCACUUUUAAUCGAUAGCGUACGGAUAAAUACGUUUUUAUUAAAAUUGAUUUUUUUUUUUUAAUAAAAAUCGUGCUGAUAAUUCUUUGUUAUUGGCCCCUGUUCAAAGUUUAAUCAAAGAUUCUCUUCGAAUCUAAUAAAUUACUUCGUUUUACCUACUGCCAAGAAGUCUUACAUUAAUAAUUAAAUAAACAUCUUGUAUGGUGUCCGUAAAUAUAUUAUAAAUAAAUAUUAUUAUUAAAAUAAUAUAUUUGUAAAUAUUAUUGUAAAUACUUAGCGAAAUCGUUCACGGUGGUUGUUGUCUAUUUCGUUGAAUUUCGUCACCGUAAUACCGUGAAUAUUAUAUUUGUCACGCGAUAUUGAACGUCAUAAACUGUUUUCCACUUCGUAAAACGGAUAUCGACCUUGUACUAUAGUAUACUGUGAAGUAAAUAAUAACGGCUAUUUUUCUUCUCGACGAAACGUACGGCCAACUGUUUUCAAAAAAUGUGAAGUUUUUUCACGGUCUGGUUACGUUGACUUUUUGAUUCGUAUUUAAAAGUACUAAAACACGAAAAUCGAUAAUUUACAUUGUAUAAACUACGGACAUACUAUGCACGUAGGUGCAGACACUGUUGUAGAUGGAAAGUUGGAAAGGUAGAGCACAGAAAGGAAUUUAAUGUAUAUCUGUAAACAACGAUAAACUAUAUUGCCAACGGAAAAACGAUUCUGAGUGGAGCUAUGUUAAUAGUGUCAACAAUAUAUGUAUAUAUGUCAUAUUAUGGUAACGUAAUUAAAUAGGCAUUAAAUAUUUCCUUUAAUAAUAUUUGUUUAAUGUUGUACCGAUUUUUCCGUUUUUCCUACGUUUUUCCCAUGUUCUUUCGUGGUUUUUCACAUUUUCCGGGAAAACUCUUGGGAAAAUCAAAAAAUGAUUUCCAUUCAGAAAAAGUGUUAUUAGUGUAAAUUGGAGAAAAUUGCUUGUAGAAAAGUUGUCCAUAACAAAAAAAAACAAAUCGUAAUAUUUUACUAAUAUAUUUCGUACAUUUUCCCGUUUUUUUUUUCGGUUUUUCGCACUUGAUGAGAAAAUUGAAAAAUGACUUCCCUAAAGUACCACCCUAAAGAAAUUUCCUUUCAGAAAAUGGUCUACAUCGUAGAACGUGUUCACAUAAAAAAAAAAAAAAAAUAAUUAAUAUUGAUAUAAAUAAAUGAUCACCCUCCUCAUAUUUCGUUGAAAAUUAUUGUUGACGAUAUGCGUAAUUUUCGUAGACUUUGCUAAAUUAUUUGUUUUGGAACGAUUUCGUUAAUGAACGCGACAUAAUAUUAUAGAACGUAAGCAAAUACUUCCCCUUUAAUUGUGUUCCGUCCGUAGAGUUACUACAGUAAGUGCACACGGCGCCGAUUGUUGAUCUGGUUGUCAAGAAGUUACAUAACAUUAUUUGUCGUAACACUAUUAUUAUUAUAAACUACUAUAUAAAUGUCCCGCACGGUUUUGUCCGUGUCGGUAUUGAACGGCGUAAAAAUAAAAACUUUGAUCCGCGUUUGUAUUUGUCCGUGUUGUUCGUUUUAUUUUAUCCGUGGCACUAAGGUAAUCCACGGAUAAUUCGAUUUUUGGACCAAUAAUACCAAUGGCCCUGUACCAGCCACCCUUCAGAUGGUUGAUUACGGAGAAAAAAAAAUUAGCUUUUCAAUGUUUAUUCCCGAUCUAGAACUAUACAUCUUUACAACGUUUUAGCUUAAUCCGUUGGGUAGUUUCGGGGUGAACGGAUGGCAAACGUUCGUGUUUAAUAUACCGCGUUCGACGGAUUUUUUUAGCGCUGUUAAUAUUGAAUUCUUUUCGUUUUUUUUUUUUUUUUUUAAUCGGUUUUUCUUCGACGGAUUUGAAAAAAUUGAAUUUUUAUUUUCAUCCUCUAAACACACACACACACACACACACAAAACAACUUUUUAUUCAUUCACUUAUACAUUUAAUUCGUGAUUUAUUUUCAUUACGUUCAAGUUCGUCCCGUUAUUUCAAUUACUUAUGGCCGAUGUUAUGGUGAAAUCACGUCUAGUUCUGAUAACUGCGACGUGGCUUGGUCAUGUAUAUACAAGGCGUAGGUAUAGAGUAGGUAUAGUAUGGUAUUUAAAUUAGUUUACCCGCUUUAAACUUUUAUCUCGCCGCGAAACUGUAAUAAUGACAAUUAUUCAUUAUACAAAUAAUAAUACAAGGUAUAGGAAUGAGUGUUAUAGGUAGAUUUACUUACGUCCUCGCUGGUCAAAAUAUUUAUGAACAAGUCAAGGUUUUUAACCGAUGGUUAUUUAAGGUUUUUAACCGAUGGUUAUUUGUGUGCACAUAGAAUAAUAAUAAUAAUAAUAAUAAUAAUAAUAAUAUUAUUAAUACGGAUUUAGGCCAAAGAUUUAUAAGAUACUCGAUAUUUUUUUUUUUUUUUUUUCGUAUAAAUUCAUCCGUAUACUUUACUGCAACAUUGUUUCGGAACAGGUUUCUUUGAUUCGUUGUACUUUUACAUAUAUAUAUAUAUAUAUACAUGUAUCUCAAAAACAAAGGAAUCCGGUCUAUAAAGAAACUGAAAAUAAUAAAAUCUUUUUCUCGUCUUAUAUCGCACCUAAUUAUUUCCAAAUAAAAUGAAACGCCGCAACAGCAAACAGCAGCAGCAGCAGCAGCAGCAUCAGUGUCUCAAGGACACGCAACAACAAUAUAAUUUUAUUGAAUAGACCGCAUUGGGACACGCGCAGUCUCGACAGAAAUUGUACAGAAUUGUUUACAUUAUUGCGAUUUUUCUAUACCUACCUGAGAACAUUAUGCAGAGAUCUCGAUUUAUGUUUACACAAUAUAAUUAAUUCUGGUUAAACGAAAUACCGGUGUUGAAAGGGUAAAACUAUGAGUGCGUAUGAUUAUUAACAACAAAUUAUAGAUGGAAAAUUGCGCAUUGUUAGUUACAACGACAAAUGCCGUUUGUAUAAUAUAGUUAUAUCACGGUAUAUAAACGAGGAUUGGCAAAAUGGUUAUACGUAAUUUAUUUGAAAAACAUAACGCGAAUAUGAAGGGCUCAGCAACAAGGCGAGUCGAUUUUUCGAAAUUGCUUACGGAAGAGAAUAAAAAAACCGUCUCUCCUCGUAGAAUUGUCUUCUGUUCGCCCAUAGUUUGGUCGAACCGGACAAAGUCUUCAUUACUAUUUAUUCCGCAUCUGGUUGACGCACUUUCAUUAUCGGUGCACCGAAUUAUGUAAAGCAUUUAUUGUUUUACUCGAAACUAUCAGCAAUCCAUUUUCGACUCAGCUUGUGUUUUUCACUGAGCCCUACAAUUGGUUUAAAUUGGUUUUGAACGCAGGCGUUAAUGCAAACGAAACGAAUUUCUUUAUGGAAAUGCAUUUUGAGUAUACGGAUAGUGAAUACGAUACACAUCCGCGUCAAUCGGCAAUAAUCAGAGCCUGUUAAAAUAAUCCAUAAAAAUAAUACUUAAAUCAAGACUUUAAAUAAGAAACAAAAAGUAAUAUUAAUUAGAAUUAAUUAAUAUUUAUUAGAAAAUAAAUAGGUAACGUACAUAUGUAUAUUAGUGAAAACUCACACCCCUGGUUUCGCCGCGAUCGGAUAAAAAUUGCAAUAAUAUUAAUUAAAACGUAUGCAUUUUAUAUUUCAUUAAAAAAAAAUACAUUUAUGUUUAUAGAGUGAUUCGCUAAGCGUGCUCGACCCAUUUUUUUUUUUUGGUUACAAUUUGCAUAUAUUCGAAUUCUGAUUUUCGGAACUUUCAAGUGUAGUUAAAGGUUCACUAUUCUCCAACUACCUGAACUUAAAAAUUAAAUAUCUCGUCAACGGGUUGAUGGAAAUGAAAAGUGUUGAUCCAAAAUUUAUUUUAAGUAAUACUCUGUCUAUCUAUGGAAUUUUUAAUCGACAUUCUCAUUUGAAAAACCAAAAAUGGUAUCGCCACAGGAUACUCUUUGAAUGUUAUGAAAAAUCUAGGCAUUCGAAAAUAUCGGCUUUAAAUACACUGGAAAAUGUCAAAAAUCGGAAUGUAUUGCAGAUUAUAAAUAAUCUAUAUGCAAAAUUUAACCCGACAAAUGGGUCGAGUACGCUGAGUGAAUCGUCCUGUAUAUAUAUAAACGAAAUGGACAUUUUUUUUUCCAAGCCUACAGAAUAUUAUAGCGAACGUUAUAAUAAACAGUGACGAAUGUUACUGUUUUUCACGUGGGUAGUUAUAAACCCUGAAUAUUAUAUAGUUCCCAUAAAUUAUUUUUAUUAAUGCUGUUUCGAUAUAAUCAAAACGAUUAAGCAGUUAUGUAAUACCUAUAGUAUAAAUGCAUACCCAUAAAACUAACAUUAAUAACUGCAGAAUAUAAAAUAAACUCGUUAUCUUUGUUUUUUUUUUUUUUUUGUUUUUGUCGCGUCUCCUUAUAAUACUGUUACAUUCGGUGUUUUAAUACGAAAUAUUUCAGUGAUGAAGACGACUUUAAUGCGCGGGAAAAUCCCUAUAAAAAUUUCGCAUGAAUAUUUUAAAGAAUUUUUUUUAUUUGUUUAAUUUAUUAAGAAUGUUAAACAUUAUUUUAUGUAUCGGUAUGUUAGCAUGUUAUUAAUUUUUGGGCAAAUUUACAUAUCAUAACGUUUAAUUUAAAAUGCACCGUAUCGAUCGUUCGUUUGUUCGUAUUUUAGACUCUGAGUGGAGCGUAUUGGUUUUACAAUGUUUAUUUUAUUUUAUUUUUUUCUAUUUUUUUUAUUUAUAUUUUUUAUUCCAAUUUACAUUGAUAGCACUUUUUCUGAAAUGAAAUCUGACUUGGGUGGUAUUUUAGGCAUGUAAAUAUGUCAUUUUUUGAUUUUCCCAGAAGUUUUUCCAAUAAAUGGGAAAAACCGAGAAAAAUCGUAGGGAAAACGGGAAAACAGGUACAAUAUUGAACAAAUAUUAUUAAAGUAAAUGUUUAAUGCAAAUACAAUGAUUUUACCAUAAUAUGACAAUAUAUAUUAUUGAAAAAGCAACACUAUCAACCGAACUCCACUCAGAAUCGUUUUUACGUAUAAUACUAUUAUGGUUAAGAUUUUAUGGAUAUGUAACCGAGUCGGCCAUAGCGAAUAAUGCUAAUCGUGAAGAAAAUAUCAAUCAAAUGUCAGCAGAAUUGUUAUUCGUUUUAUUUUUAUUUAAAUCAAAUAGUAAUAGCAACAAUUAACGAUAAAUCAUUAUACACACGUAAUGAAAAGUCAAUAACAUCUUACGUUAUAAAUUUUGCAUUGGCUGGCUAUAGGUUAUAACACUGUACUUUAUAAAUUCGUACACGGCAAUAAACGUGUUUUAAAUUCAUAAUUAUUUACAAAAAAAAAAAAAAAAAAAAUUACAGACAAUUAUUACGAUGUUUAAACGCCGUGGAGUUAAAUUUCGAAACCUGUUGGUGUAACGGAACGGUUUAUUUCAAACGCAGCCACAACUGUAGUCUAAUAUUAUUAGUUUAUAUAUUACAGUAUAAUUAUUUUGCAUGAAGAACGGUUGGACUACCCGAAUCGUAACGCGUUGGUGCAAUAGUUCUACGUGUAACAAGUUCGGCAGGAACGUCAAACCAAAAAUAGCCCAGGUACGUUUGAGCACCAACAAGUUUAAUAAUCAAUACAUAUAUAUUAUGGUAAUUAUUUGAAGUAUAUCGAAAUUAAUUAUUGAUUGGGUGCAUAUAUUAUAACUUAGCUGUAGUGCCCAAACACGUUAUUAGGAAUAUUAGUAUUGGCGACCAAUUCGAAUGUUGCAAAUAAAAAAAAUUGACGUUCAUACGAAUUACGACUUUUUGAAGUAAAAAUUAGGUUCUGUGCCAAUAAUACGAAUCGCGUCCAAUAUUUGAUGCGCAUUAUGGUAGGUGUUUAAAUCUGUUCAGAUUUGUAUUAACAGUAUAGGUACGUUUCCAAUACAAAAUGACAAGUGCAAUAAUAUUAUUUCGUUCGUUUCUUUGUUUACGUACAUUUCGAAAAUAAUAAAUUGUGUUACUAAAACCAGCGUCCGCAGAAUUUUUUCCCAGGGGAGGGGACAAGGGCAAUAAAAAAAAAAAAAAUAUAUGACGAUUUUUAGUCAAUCGCCCUUUCUCAUACCUUCGUUUCAGACAGAAUACAAAAUUGCGAGGUGAUUGCAGUCUACCCCAACCUUCAAGACGCCCACGAAUAAAAGAUAAUAUAAUAAUAUUAUAUUUAUAAUAAUUAAUAAUAAUAUACCUUUAGGACUUGGUUGUUUUUUGCAGGAGUCUAGACAAUAAAAAAUAUAAUACUCAUUAAUUUAGGAUUUGUAUCGAUUAUGUUUGGUUUUUGAAUACCAUUUUUUAACGAUCUCUAGAAUAGCAAGACUGGUCAUUAAUGAGUUUAAAAGUUAAUAAUUAAAAUUAACGUUAAAUUUAAAGUUAUGUGUUAAUAUUAACUUUUAAUUAAAUCUAUUUUGUGUGCAUUAACUUUAUAAAUAAUGGGGUUAAUUUGAAUUACAUUAAGUUAAUUUAAAUUAUUAUUUUUUAAUUACACAAUAUUAAAUUUUAUCAUCUAGAUGUUGAUUCAAUAGGUGCCACCAUCGUAUAAAUUAUAAUUUUUUAAUUAUUUUUGCUUGAUAAUAUGUGCGCGGUAGUUAAGAAUUUAAAAUAAAUAUGUAUAAUCGUAUGUUCCCAAAAUAAUGUUUAGCAUUGAUGAUAUAUACUUGAAAAAAAAAAUUAAAAAAAAAAUGCCCAACACCAGGAAUAACCAGGUAUUUUUACUACAAAAAUAAAAAUUGUAAAACAAAUCAAAAAAAAAAAAAAUACAAAAAACAGUAAAAUAAGUUCAAGUUAAAAAGUAAUUACAAUUUCAAACUAAAUUUCAACUUAAUAAAGUUCAUUGAUACAACAAUUGACUUUUACCAUAUGAACUCGUUCAUUCUUUUUCAUUAAACUUAAUUAAUGUUGUUCAUUAAUUAUUUAUCUAGCCUUGUCGAACAUUAUAUCCAAUUGUUAGCAUUCUAUAAUUUGAUACGUGUAAAUGAGUAUAAUUAUUCAUUGCGUUCUAUAACUCCUGUUUUCCGUAAGAACUCUGAACGAGUUCCUUACACGCAUUAAAUCAGUUUAUUAGCGAACAAAAUUACUAUUACAAUAUAAUGUAAACAUCAUAAACAACCUGAAAUUUAUUUGUACUAAAACCAAACUUGUCAAAACGUUCAUAAUAUUGUAAUAUCACGUGCCCAUUACACUGAAACCUUCGAAUACGCGGAUUCAACGAAUAUUCGACGAAUUAUCAUUGUGAUUUAUAAUAUUUUCUUCAUUAAUUUCGUUAAUUCACAAAUAAACACUUUUACAACCUUGUUUGUCGCGGAACCGGUUAAAAAACGUUUACCUAUAAACAUGACGGAAAAUUUACCGUGUGUGUAGGUAUUUGUUUAUUUGAAUGCGAGAACAUUCGUCGCUGCGAUUGUUUUGAAAAAUUGACCGAAGACGACGGAAUAACGAAUUGCCGACAAAUAUCACGUGUACUAUUCCUGUAUUCCUCGCAUAUUUUGACUAUAUUAUUAUUAUAUAUAGUGAUAAGUGUGCGAAGGUCUUUUACACUCUUGAAAGGGGUGUAGUGGUGGAUUUUCAAUAUUUUUAUGGGAGAGGUCCUGAAAAUUAUUUUAUAAGAAGUCAUUUUAUUGAAAUUUUAUCGGUGUCUGGAGGGAUUAUAGAACCGUCAGAAACCCUCAGACCCUCUUUACAUCCGUCACUAAGAGGGAACAGCGAUAUUUGAAAUAAAUCUAUACACCGAAAUUAAGGAUGGACGUUGGACGUUAUGACAUAUUAAAACAUAUAUUUUUCGCUUCACCGAUUUCCUUAAAAAGUUUUCGAUUCAUACGGUUAGGUAAAAAAAAAUCUCUCAGUAUCACUCAGUAUCGUAUUUCAUUAACAAUGAUUUAUCGUUACAUACAGAUAGAAUUUAAUAAACUCUAUAUAGUAUCCAAUCUUUCCAGUUUUAAAUAAUAAUACUUAAUACAUUUCGUAAAUUUUCCCGUUUAUCCUACGUUUUUUACCUGGAUUUUUCCAUUUAUAAUUAAAACUCCCGGGAAAAAAAUGAAAAAUCAUCAGCCUAAAGUACCACCCAGAUAAAAUUUCCUUUCAGAAAAGGCACUGCACUUUAAAAUCGGAGCAAAAUUUUUGAUAGAGUGGUUGUUCACAGAAAAAAAAAAAACCAAUCGCUCCGCUCAGAAACUAAAUAAAACGUAGAUUGAUUCCGAACGAAGCUAUAUAAGGUCAAAAGGGUCCAUAAGCCAAAAUAGAUCUUUUAAUAUAACUAUCAUUGAUAUUUUCAUUAAAAUGAAUUUUAUCAGUUGGAUAUUUAUACUUUAAAUCCAAUUAUAUUAUACUUAAAAUCAAAAAACAAAAAUCAAAAUGAUAUUAUACUGAAUAAUUUAAUUUAUAUUUACCUAUGACACUUGUAUAAGUUAUUUUUUCAACAUCAGUAACAAAAACUACUUCAAUAUAAAUAACAGAUUCCCGAAAAAAAGUCCCAACAAGUAAUGUUGUAUGAGUAUGAUGGCUACCUACAUUGAUGGCUUUUACAUUAAUUAUUAUUGUUCAAAACAUACCUUUAACAGAUUCAGUGUUUAGAUUUGCAUUAGAUGUUUCUGAAUCGGGUAAUUGUGGCCGUAUAAAAUUAUCCAAUGACUCUUUUAAUUUUUAAAGUUCUUCUUAUCUUUUUUGAACUUGAAUUUUCGUUUUUGAACCCCACUCAAAUAUUGCCUUGAGACCAUUUAGUUUUUAAUGACAAAAACAGAUUAAGUUUCAAUAUAAAGAAAUAGAUGUUUUCAAUAAACAUAAAACUAAAAACAUGUAGACAGAAAGGCAGCUAUAACCAAUAAGUGAUAAACUAAUACAGUAAUAUCAAUUAUUAUCAAUGUUAAUUCCCAAUAUUAUCGUCAGAUAUCAAUACGAUAAUUCUAUGACGUAUAUUGCCAUGACUUACGCAGCACACACAGUAACAUAAUUAUGUAUGAUAAUAUAAGAAGUUUCUAUUAUAGUCUAUACUCAAAUACUCUAUACCCGCAUUCCGGUACCCGCACGGGUCACACUGUAUGACUGUGUAUGGCUAUAAUACGCCUAUACGGUACACGGGUUUCUCGCAUUUGGUAUAUUGGACGCUCCUAAUAUUCGAAUUCUCUAGACUCAGACGAGUAAAGACAUUGUUAUAUAUUUGUUAUUUUUAUAUCAAAACAAAUAAUACAACACGUGUAAUGCGUAUAUUACAGAUUAUAGUAGGAAUAACAUUUAAGAGAUUUCGGGAGUCGACGAGGCCCCCCCCCCACGAAAACCGGGGACCUCUGUGAAUCGCACACCCAACACUCCCGAUAAUUGCGCCACUGGGUGUGGUGUCGGAUUAUUUUUAUUUGUAAAACCGUUACACCCAGCGAUUUCUCAUCUCGCGGUCGUAAUAAUGUCCGUUGAAAUAACGCGUAUAGUUUUUUUUUUUUCGCCGCGCUUUAAUCAUGCCGGACACUUGAAUUUCGGCGCGAGACGUCGUCGUGUAAUAUGCAAAUGUCGAACGUCCGCUGACCGUUACGGGUGUAAAAAUACUGCAAUUAUUGCAUCGUUUCCGCGGCCCGGAACCGUUAUAAUAUAUCGGGUAUGGUAAAAAAAAAAAAAAAAAUUUUAAAACGACGAUUUAUUAUUACGGUGUGACGGUCCGGACGACAACGGCGGCUACAUAACGAUAUUAUAAUAUCGCGCGGCUCGGGUACUAUUAUAUUGUGCACAUAAUACGAAUACGAGUUGUUGUAACGCCGUAUCGUUUUCCAGACGACCGAGAACCAGUAUCGGGACGUUUCGAUAUCGCGUACGGCGUGUAAACUGUUAUUAUUGCGUUGUUAUUAUAUUGCUUUUUUUUUUUUUUUUCCCCAUUGUUCGCGCGGCGAUCGCGACCCGUCUUCGGCUGACCACGUCACAACAACGGGGGCCGCGCACCAGCUGCAAAUACCGGCGGCACGGAGGAACCGCCGAGAGGUCCGGAAGGGUUGGACGUCGCGUACGUCUAGUAAAUAGCGAUAAUCGUGAGAAAAACUGCGCGGCGGCGCCGAGCGAAAAAAAAGAAUACGAAUAAAUACGAAUAAUAAUAAUAAUAAAUAAAAAAAAAAAAAAAAAAACCGUGGCGAUUUUGUCGUCAUCGGCCGCGGCGGUUCGUCUCCAAUACGUGUACAAUAUUAUAACAGCGAUAAUCGAGCGCAUCACACGCGCACCUAACCGACGGGGUGGGACACAAUGGUGUCCGAGCAUUAUACGCGUGUAUUGUGCAUUGUGUUUUUUCCGAAAUCCGGUUUCCCCCCCCCCAUCCCUCGAAGAGAAGACGGCCGUGCUGGCCGUAAUGCCGUAACGCCGUGCAGAGGCGUCCAUUUUCCGUCUGCCGCGGGAACCCUCCCCGUUUAGGGACGGGCCGGCGGUUUUUAUUCGCUCCUUGUUUUCAUUUCUUUUUUUUUUUUUCCCCCCGGCACUUCUUUCGCCGGUUUUCGCCAACCCGUUUUCGGCGGCGGGGUUGUGCAAAGUCUCGAGAGAAAAACGUUACGUUUUUAUGCGCUAUAAUAACGUACGCCGCAGCGAGCCGAGAAGACGUCUAGGAAACGGCGCAUCUAUUGUAACGGGUUUCGCAAUCUCCGCCGUGCGUUUUUUAACAGCGGCGGUUUAUUUAUUUGCGUUUCGUUUUUAUUUCUUUGUGUAUAAUAUAUUAUGCCGGGUAUAUUAUGCGCGUACCGUGUAGUCUCACUCGAACGGUAAUCGAACGGAGAACGGAGAACGGACAAAAAAAACCCCUCGACAAAAAAAAUAAAUAAAAAAAAAAUACCGGUAUUCCGCGCGACGGACUACCGGACUCUCCGGCACGAACGAUGAGAUACCGGGCCGUCGAGAAAUUCGGUUAAUUAACGACCGUCCGCUGAGGUUUCUUUUCGUAUUGCGGCGACGCGUUAUCAUCCAUCAUCGCGACGACCAAAUAAGUAUCCGCCCGCGAUGAACUAUACGUCUCAUGAAUAAAAUAUAUUAUCGUUAUGCUUGUGGGCCCGAUCAUUCGGGUCAGUCGUUUUGAGAUUUUUCGUUUUAUUUUAUUUUUUUUUAACCGUUCACGAUCCCGUAUCAGUACAAAUACGCGGAGAUUUCGUAAUUCCGCAAUCCUGCGAGAACGCGUCUCGUUAAAGUUCUAUUAUCCCCCACCCCCGUACCCUGGCACGCGUAUAUUGUAUUGCAGCGUACGAUACACGCACCGGCGUACAAUAAUCUUCGAGUUGAUAAAAAAAAAAAAAACAAACAAAAUCGCGAGUAUUUUUUCCCCUCCCUAUGACAUUUUUUCGAAAACGGCCGCCGUAGUCUGCGCAAAUACUAUAUGUAGGUAUUUAUUAUACGUACGAUGGCGCUGACUGUUCCGUUUCCGCAGCUUAUAAACAAAUCCUUAACGAUAACACAUGAAACGAUCGGCCGUACCAAGAGAUCCAGCUGUGUAAACGGGUCGUGAUAAAAUUUCGAAAAUUAUCGCGAAAAUUCGCGCUGCCUAAUUUGUCGGUAGAAACGAAAAAUAUUGAUGAUAUCAUAAAUAAUCAACCCAUCGACUUACGUCACUUAAACCAGUGGUGUCUCGUCGCAAAUGAAACUAAUUUUUACAGAAAUUUUAGGAAAAAUAAUAAUUUUAGUAUGAAACGAUACAUCGAGGACGAGAAGUUUUUUAAUAUGUAUUAUAGAAUCUAAACGUUAAACAGAAGUGCAAAAUAUUUCUUCGCUUUUAAAGUAGUGCGUUUUAAAUUUUUUGUAAAAUCGAGAAAUAAAUCGUACAUUGAUUAUCAAUAGCUAAACUUUUAACGGCUGAAUCUCGUCGGACAAUUUUUGAGAUGUAUCCGCCAAAGUUGCUCGGAAAAAAACAAAUCAAUAAUCGAAUCUGCAUACUGCUUAAUAGAAAUAGAAGUUUCCAUUCGAGAAAAUAUGAUCAAAACUUCCUUGCUUCCUAAAUAAACCCCAAUUAAAUAUAAAUAUACCCGACUCUAAGUAAAUUUUACGAUACUUUAGAUUAGCUACCGAAUUUUUUUUUUUUCGAUCGAACAUUUUUUUAUCCAGAAAAUCUAUAAAAUAUAUUGGAAAACUAUUCGGAUAGUUUUUCCCGUAAUUGAUGAACAGUUUUCGAUCUGUUGGAUAGCCCGACAUGAUAAAUAACUACUCGUAGUCGUGCUCGUCACUACAGAUUUUACUAGAGCUCCCUAUUUCACGAGCACACGUUUUCACGUAUUUACGCGAAUCUCAAAAACCGUGUACUGAACAAAUCCUUCAUCUUCGGAGGGGAAUCGUAAAUUUCUAAAGGGGUAUGUCAAAGGCGGAGACCGGAUCUAGACGUUUUAUACUUGGGGAAAAAAUUAAGAAAAUAUUCUCAAUAAUGACUUUUCUGAGCUCGCUAAAAUACGGUUAUUUAUACGUAUAACGCAAUAUUUUUUAGAUUUUGAGUGGAACGAAGAAGCUUAUGGUGUUUAUUUUUUGCAACUUUUCUUCCAGAAGACUUGCUCAGAUUUUUAAAUGUAACACUUUUUCUGAAAGGAAAACGGUGUGAAGAGGUCAUUUUUCGAUUUUCUCAGCAAAUGUUAAAAACCGGGAUAAAACACGAGAAAACCGGGAAAAACGUAGAAGAACUGGAAAAAUCGGUACAACUCGAAACAAAUAUUAUUAAAGAAAAUGUAUAAAGCCUAUUUAAUUAUUUUUUACUAUAAAAUUACAUAUAUAUUAUUUAAAAAUGAUUGCUAUCAACUGAACUCCUCUCAGAAUCGUUGUUUCGUAAUUGUUUGUAACAAUGGCUGCACCCCCCUCAUUAUCCCAGGACGUCCUUUUUAAAUUUUAUUGUUAACGAGAUGACUUGUAAUCGGCCCAUAAUUAUUCAUUUCAUGUAUUAUUAUAUCACUUCGUGCGUAGUUUACAAAGUGUAAUAUCAUACAUUUUCAGGGGGUGGUAAUACCACCAUCCCCUCGGUCACCUCCCUGAAAUAAACACUGGGUAUACCUAUGUGAGUAUACGUAUACGUUUUUCAUUAGUAGAUUUUUAACGAAUUCAUUUUUACGGACUUUAAAACGACAAGUUAUUUCGCCGAGUUUCGAAUUUUUAUCAUUGAUAACAUCAGUUUUAUUCGUGUUUUAUUAUAUGCGCAUCGUAAUAAAUUUAUAAUACGCAUCGUUUCUCGUAAUCUACGAUAUAUAAUAUCAAUGUACUAAAAUGCACUCCGAUGAAUUAUUAAUUUAUAAUAAUAAUAAAUCGACGAUACCGUUGGUUUUUUUCUUGCCGUAUCGGGUUUUUUUUUUUUAUUUUUACAGUGGCGUUAAUAUAGAGACCGAAUAUUUUAUUAAUCCACGUAUUAUCGGCCCGUCAUUAUGUAAAUAUUUCGUUAAUUUAUUAACCAAGAUUCGUGUUUUACGUGUUCUUUAUAUGUUUUUGAAACAAGUAUAAAAUCGAUAAUAAUAUACCGUCAUUAAUGAUCAUAUCGUUUUUGUACAUUAAUACUUGACAAACGGAAACAAAUAUAAACGUAAAAAAAAAAAUCUCCGUGGAUUUUGCGUUUUCGUGAAAUAGAUACGAAAAAAAAACAAAAAUCAAUAAUUAUUAUACGUACGGCACGUGUUUAAGACGAGAAAUAUUAACCGGUUUUCAUAUAAUUCUACAACACUAUAAAAAAAAAAAAAAAAAAAAAAUAGACACCCAACUAUAUCUAUUUUAUAAUAUAGUUGCGCCUUCGAUAAUCUGUGAUAAUAUUAUUCCGCGUUUAGUUUUUAUUUUUCAUCAUAAAAUAAUCGUAUGCGAUAUUUUUUAUUAUAAUGUUAUUAUUAUUGAAAAAUUAAUAACACUUAAUAAAAAAUCGCAUUUCCCGGUUUUUUUUAAAAUAUUUUUUUUCGUUAUCUCCGGGUUCCGUACAAAUUUAUCGUCUUGAAGACGGGUCAACAGAAUGUUUACUUGCUCGCCUAGGGGCCGCGUUAUAUAAGCGCCCGUUAUAGUAUACUAUUUAAGUGCUGCGAAUUUUUUUAUACUUUUAAUAUUCUGGUUUUUAGGUUUCUUUUUUUGUUUGUUUUUUAAGUAAUAUACAAUGUAUAUAAAUAAAUAUUAUACACUGCGCUUAGUGCCCAAUUAUUAUUGACUGGUGUAUAAAAUAUUUAUAAUCGACUAAAAUGUAAUGCGAAUACACUAUUAUACUAAACUAUAUAUUAAUAUUAUAAUGCUCAGUCAAUAUUCUAAUGUUACGUGACAAAAACGAUUUUCGUUAAAAAGUGGCCGAGUGGAUAUUAUACACAGGUACUCUAUCUGUAAAAAAAAACAACACGUAUUGCUAUAGAAAAUUGUAUGUUUUAGAUAUAUGAAUGGAGAAACGAGUGUAUUGGUUCUACAAUGAUGUUUAUUUUUUUUAUAUGAACACUUUUUCUACCAGAGAGUAUACUUCGAUUAUCAAGUAUAGCACUUUUUCUACAAGGAAAUGUUCUCUGGGUGGUACUUUAUGGAGGUCAUUUUUAGAAACUCUCAUUAAUAUUCGAGAAAAUGAGGAAAACCUCGGUCUUUAGGUUAAAAAAAAAAAAUUGAAAGACUAAAAAUAAGAUUAUUAUUGGCAACCGUUUUUAUUUAUUUAUUUUUAUUAUUAAUUUUUUUUAAACACUCAUUGUUGUCAUGGAAAUGCACAUUGUUGUAAUCAUUUUACCAUAAUAUGAUAUAUACCAUAUAUUGUAUUGUUGACAAAGCAACACUAUCAACUGAAAUCUGUUCAGAAUCGUUUUCGUUAGUUUUCGUUGUAUCCUAUCUUCCCGAACUUCUCAUCUACAACAGUGGUUGCACCCACGUACGAAGUAUGUCUGUCUCUUUUCUUUUUCUAAUAUUUUUUUAGUAUUAACAUAUUUUCAGAUACUGAGCGGCAAGGAACGCUCCAGUAUAUUGGGUUUUACAAUUAUAAUUUUUUUUUUCUUUUGGUCCGUAAAUAACUUUUUUUACCAGAUACCGUCAUCGAGUUUCAGUUGUAGUCUACACGCAUGGAUUACGCACAAAACAAGUAAGGAAUUCAAAAUUUUAAAACCAUUUUCAAAUUCACUGUGUCAAGUUGUAUUCGAAUAUUCAGAGUUAUUUUUUUUUUUUUAGUUUUACGUUCGAUAAUAUGUUUUUGGUUUCUCAAAAACGCUCGACAUUUCGACACAAGAUUUUUUCUAUACGGUGUAACAAUAUAGAUAAUUUUUCAUUGGGGUGGGGGUGGAGGGGUUAAAUAAACGUUUAAAGUUGACAUUUUCACGAAAAUUGUAAAGAAUCACGGAAUUCCGCGUACCAAUUAUAUUUUCCAAUCGAUGUGGACGAUGCUUUGUCGGCUCCAUAAAAUUGUUCAAAAAUUUGAAACGGAAAUACGCGAACAAUCGUGACUUUUUGGUAAUAGUUUUACCUAACUCACACACGUUUAACCAAACUUCAGAAUCACUAGAAUCCUUAAUUCCUAAGAAAAAAAGAGCGUACCUUUUUUUUUUUUUCACUAUAUUCCUGGCGUCACGUAUUAUAAUUUUGUUAAUAUUGUACAAUUUAUUGAAUCGUCUGGCAAGCACCAUUUAUAUUAAAUAUCCAUUUAAUAUUAUCGCGUAUUUUUCACGAUGUUACGUGCGACGUAAAAUACGCAUCAAAUACGAAAUUACACUGUACUGAGUUACUAAGUAAUUAUACAUUCUAGGAUUUUGUUUCCGAUGCGUGGUAUGAUUAUUAUAGCGAAAUCUUACUCCCAGUGUAUAAUUUUAAGUCUGAGGGUAUGAUUAUGAUAGGAUUAUCUUAUUGCCGGGGAGUAAUGAUUUUCUCUGGUAUUAAAAUCCUUUGCACUCCUUUACGUGAAAGGCUACCGUAAAAUGGGCGGAGCGUGUUUGGACUAGGAACGUUUAGGCCACUAAUACAAAUGCAAACCUUGUAUGAAAAAGGAUUCGAUCAACCCGUUUAGACAAUAAUUUUAUGCUCGUCAAUUAUAUUUAUAAAUUACCAUAAAAGCGUUCAGUAAAAAACUGUUGACACUAAUUUGCUAACUGAAUAAUAAGUAAAUAGUUUAGGCCUACGUUUAAUUGCAGCGAGUCAAUUUUAUUUUAAAGUUUACCAAAUUCUCACGAUUAUCGAAACCCAUCAUUCUGAAAUGUCGUUUUGGAAUCCGCUUCGCGGCCGGACGUCACACGCGCCCGACAGCCUGAAUUAUCGUAUCUGAACACGGUAUACUACCUGAUCUGAGACGACCCAACUUACGGUCUUAACCGCUAUAACCUGUACAAUUAAAUUAUAUUUAAUACGUAUAGUCCGCCACCGCGGCCGUCGGACGCGGAAUAGGACCAGGAGAACGAAACAGAAAAAAACAAAAAAAACAAAAACAAAAACGGAAAAAGGGAGAUCGCCAAAACAAUUAAUAAUAAACUAACAUUGUUGAAACGCGCCGCGAUAAUCAGUACCGUUUAAAAAAACAAUUCGGCGCCCUCUAUUAGACACACCGCGGUAAUUCGAUUGUUCCGGCGGCGGACAGAAGUCGUUUCAUACGCUAUAACAAUCGUAUAAUAUAAUUAUCAUUUUAUCGCACGUGUCCCGGGAUCGGUAUUUUCAUUAUUAUUUUAUUUUAUUUUUUUUAACAAUGAAUUACCUACACCGGAACGGCGGCGACGCGACGAUACGUCAAACCAGUUUCAGGGAACGUGUAAACGCGCGUGUAGGUAUACCGUUUGCACACCUGUCGAUCGGCGGCUUAGCGCUCGGUUCAUCCGAUCCCGAUCGUCGGUGCUUAUAAUAUUAUUAUAAUACGCAUUGCAUUCCGUAUUAAAACGAUAAUAUUAUAAUAUAAAUACGUUUAAGCUCGGGUAUCACAAGCCAGAUUAAAAAGCUUUUAUUUUUUUUUUAUUUUUUUUUUUUAAUAGCCGCACGCCCGACUACCGCGCGUUAUUAUUUUGUCGGCAGCGGAGACCGCAACGCUGAGACGUGUCUACGUAACCCGACCUAACCUAACCGGGCGCGGAAACGGACGCGUGACGAUUGAAACGUCUUCGGGUCGGGUUGUUAAACGUAUAAUACAUAAAAUCUACACGACAAUAAAUCCAUUCGAACCGUAAAGACCAGUGUGUAUAACAUAAUAUGGUCUUAUAAUGGCUUUUAGCCAAUUAUACGGCUACACUGAUUGGUAAUCACCAAUUACGUUUUUAUUUUAAUAUUUAAACGUUCGGUAGUCGUUGUAUUAUUUUGCAAAUCCUUAAAAUAAUGUUAUCUGUUAUAUUGCAUUUACGCGUUCCGAUUCGCUGCAUUUAUUUUUUUAUGUACAUUAGCACGGGUAGAAAUUUGUAGACGGCGAAAUCGAUAGAUCGGGUUUUUGCCCGUACUACUACUGGCUGAAUCGAUAAGUUACCCAAAGUUCAUUAACGGCGAUUCGGCGAUUUUUUUUUAUUAUUAUUGCGCAGUCUAGUGUAAAAAAUAACUUUUUCGAGGAGGUCGAUACAGGAGGCGCAGAAUUUUUCUAAUAAGCUUACAGUUUGCAUUUACAAGUCUGUAUAGGCAUUUGCGAUUUUUCGUGGUAAAAUGAGAAAUUUUUAUAGAUUCAACAAGUCUUGCAUGUUGGCCCAGUCAACGAUUCGUAUUUAUCGGAAGAGAUUAAAUAUUAGUAAUUGCGUGUUUGUUCAGUUUGUUUUAUGGAUGCAAAUAAUACAAAUCGAAAAGUGACUAACGUACACUACUUAAAAUUCGAAAUUUAGAAAUGUUAUAAUUUCGAAUUACAAAAAAUUAUUACCAUUAUUUAUUUCAAUAUUAAAAAUGAAUUGUUUUCAUGUUAAUAGAAUUGGUAAUGAUGUAUAUUCGAGUCGAUUUAUAAUAUUUAUACCUAAAAGUCAACGAAACUGUAGGAAUUGUGUUCAGCGGAUUUCAAUUUUAAAAAACAGAUGAUGAUUCUUCAGGUUCUUUAUUAGGACGUGUUUAAAAAGGAUUUUUUUUUUUAAUGAAAGUUGUAAUCAAAUUUGAUUGUAUUUUCAACAAUUUUCAACAGUGUAUUUAUAGUAUUUUGACUUUUAGUUACGGUCAAAAAAUUUGAUAUCAUAAAAAUAAACCCGACGUAUCCUAGUUAAGCAAUUCCAACAGUUUGUUUUGGCUGUUCAGUCUAAAACGUCAAAUUUGUCGGUAAAACAAAGUUAGAAAAGUUGUAAUAUCACAAAGAGACUAAGUAAUAUCUUAAAUUCAUUAGUAUAGAAAUUGUCUAUAAUUUUUUGGAUUUGAACGUCGUUCAAAAGCGCACAUUUUACAUCGUUCCAUAUCGCACACAUAAUUUAAAACUGCAUACAUUCGAUUGGCAGUAAAAAACAUUAGGUGAAAUUGGAGACCCAAUAUGGUCACUCGCUCGCUGUGCUCACUCGGACAAUUUUAUUAGAAAAUAAUCCUCCAUUUGUUGGACAAAACCACGUCCAAUAGGACACAAAGUAAAACGUGUGCUGUAUUGGAUGUUAUCAUUUUGGGAAAACUAUAUAUAAAAGUGUGCGGUUAUGGCGACCGCCGUUUGUAUUUGAUGAAGUGAUUGUAAUAAAGCGAUCAAAUAAAUAAACAAGAUUGUGUUUUAUUCACCGCAAACGGCGACCGUCGUAACCAGGUGGUAACAACGGGUACAGCAUAAUAUACAUUGUUUAAUUGUUGUAAAAAACAGCGUUUCGAGUAAAAACUAUGUUAAUACUUUUGCACAUUACUCAAGCUCUGUAAUCAUCCGAUCAACUUGAAGUUUACAAAAGUAUCAUCUACUUAACAUACUGAUCAACCUGUGUAAAUUUCGAAAUAGUCAGUACAUUGGUUUAGGCUACAGAGAGGUCAGACUAUUUGUCGUAAAAUUACACAGGUUAAAUAAGGAGUUGCCCGUCUCGUGUAAUAUAUUACGGUCGAUGAACGAGUUUUUUUUUUUUACUUAGCUUUGCGCCCCGACCGCGGCCCUGGAUAUUAUACACAAUUGUAUAAAACAAUAUAUUUCAUUAUACUUAUAAUAUUACUACCAAUAAUGCAUUUUAUUAAUAUAAUGAAUUUAUUUAAUAUGGGGGGGGCACGUGCUUCCCCUGGGAACAUCAGAAAGUGGAGAGAGUAGUGAAACACUAUUCAAACCCCACGCGUUGUGCUGGAAAAAUAUAAUUUUCUGAGAAACCCGUAGUUUUUAGUGCUGGUUCCAAAUGGGAUAAAUCGGCAAUGUUUAAAUUUUUGACCAGCCGUAUUCGGACCUCUAAUUAGCGAACUGAUCAACUCCAGUUUAGUUGGACCGCUAAAUUAACAUUAAUAAAUUAGCGAAUCGUUGAAAACUUAAGUGAUUCGUUUGACCAUUGACGGUUCGUUAAACGUUUAUUAAACCCGGCUUAUGGGUGUCGUUUAACAUCACUUACACGACAGCAGCGCGUAGUAAACGGAUUUAAAUAAUACAACCAUGUUUUUUAUUCACGGUUACAUUAGUUUCAACGUAUACCCACUCGAUUUUCCUCCCUAUCGCGGUAAGUACGUAUCUAUCUAUGUUUCAAAACGGAAAUCUUAUCGGGUAUACAUUUUUACUAACCGUAACCCACCUGUAUAAACAACACAUCCGACGACAUAAAUAUUAUUUUAAACGUUUAUUACUUUUAUUAUACAAGUAUACCUAUAAUAUUUUAUGUAUGGAAACCGAGUGUUGAAUCUCAAACUAGUUUAGCGGGUAGCCGAAAUAAGAUUUGAAAAGAAUAAAAAAAAUCACGAUAGUAGCUUAGAUUCUGCUUUUUAUCUUUAUGAUCGUCACUGAACGGUACGCGGUUUUUGUUGAUUGAGGUCGUGUAAUAUUCGAGGGGGGUGGGAGGGAAGGAGAAAGAGAAAAUUUCCAUUAAUUUCGCCAUAGAGGGAAAAAACUCAAAAACAAAACUCGCAUUAGGUACACGUAAAAUAAUAAUUCAAACUCUCACAUUUACGUGACUGCAGCGAUCUUUCCGUUUAGUGUAUUCGAAAAGGAUUUCGUAAAAUAUAAUUGCCACUCGCAAACGAUUUUGGUAGCUGCAGACGUGAGUAGGUUAGGUAAUUACUAAUUUAUCUAUUCAAUAAAUUAAGCAAUUAAGGGCUGCGUUUGAAAACUCAGAGUAAUGUCGGACUAGAGUAGGAACAUAAUAUAUAGUAAAAUAUCCAUAUUAUCAAUUAUUCAAAUUAACGGCAUGGUUAAAAAUAAGGUUAACAUUGACAAUAAAUCAUAAGAACUGUUGACAAUUUUCCGUAUUAUAGAUUAAGUCAUUGAGCAACCGUGAAGAAAACGCGAAACUAGAAACAAAGAUGUGCGGUGAGCAGGGUGUAGAGAGGAUCUUCUCUGCCUUCUCUAUAUUUUCUUUGUCUUCGUGACGGCAAGGGAGAAAUCUUUUUAUCAUUAUGUUAUAAGCAUCUUUAUCAAUCGAGUUAAUCCGGAAUUGACGACUUUAAGUUACCGAACGGGGUAGUACAGAGUUAACUCUGACAUCUCGAACGAAACGAGAGUUUACUCGAGACAAUUAAAGUUCACUCGCGUCGAGUAAUCGAACGCAACCAAGGCGUUUAAAAUAAAUUAAUUAUAGGUAUUAGGCGAGUAUAUUUUCGAACAUUAUAGAUUCAUGUAGGUUACAAUACAAUGUGUUUGACUGGGCUGUCAAAAAUGAUUUAAAACCUAGUAACCUAUACGUUUUCGUUUGCCUAUGCGUCUAAAUUAUAAUUAAUGAUUUAUGUGGUUUAUUCAAGUUAUAAUUUAAUACAAUUAGCUAAUUAAUUACCACCGUUGAAAUGUUACAUAAAUAAAGGUUAGAUUAACAGAGUUGGGUUUCUGUUGUUUAUGGGAUCGCCUGCAGUAUUUGGAAAUCGAUAGUAAUUUAUUAAACUACGCUAAGUUUACACCUGGAUUAAUUGACAGUAAUAUAAUAUAUUAUCAAAAUACAUUUGUGUAGUGUAUACGGUGUUCAAUAUGCCUGUAAGCUACGAACAGAAAACAAAAAAAAUGCAUAACCAGUCUAAUGGCGGACACAACUAGGCAAUAGAUUUGAAAACAAAUUCCGUCCUAAACUGUAUAAACAAUUUAAUUUUUCAGAAAUUCCGAUUAAAUACACAGACACGAAUGUCGGGUACGUAUAGAGAAAAGUCCAUUGACUAUGACGUACUAUUAGGGCCGUUCUCAACAACGUAAAAAAGGCGUCUAUCUGAUUCCUAAACCGAGUUUAUGGCUGAUGACCGAUCGCGAUUGGUCGAUUGUCUUAUAAACUCCGUUUAAAAGUCAACGUACACGUCGGUGAGAACGGGUCUUAGAAAAUUAACAUUUUCCCAUUACCCCCCCCCCUCCCCCGUUUGGUAUUAUAUGCGAAUUAAUAAUAAUAUAACUGCAGUACGCACUUCAGUACUGUGGGGUCCGGUGCCGGUUUUCCGAAUCUUUCUCCGAAUUUGUAAAGUAUGAAAGUUAUUUUUAACAUUUUAACGACGACAGAUACGAAUUUUCCUAAAGUAUAUUGCCCGACACCCAUUAGGGUUGGUUAGACUAAUUGUUUUUGAAUAAUUUCGCGAGAACAGGGAUAACUCAUUGUCAAUACAAUAUUUUCCGACCAUUUGUUAUAAACAACAAAAUCUUACACGUCACAUUGAACUUUCCGAUUUUUCAUUAGAUUUCAAAUAACGAUAUAAAAAAGUUGACCUUUUUUUUUUUUUUAAAGACGUGUUCAAACGUUUGAGAUGAAAAAUAUUGAAAAACGGAGUGCAAUGCGCUGUGACAUAUUGCAUUUUUUUUUUUCUUCUUUUAAAUCAACAAUAAAAACAUAAUAUUAUCAUAAAACAAUCGCCAUCGGACGACCUAGGAAACAAAUGUACUUGAAUAAAUCUUGACGGUUAAAAUAUUAUUAUUUUUUUAUUUGUUUCAUUAUUAUUUACGUAUAGCGCAUUUUUAAUAGGAAAAUGUGGUUCCAAGUAUAACUAGUUAUAAUGAGUUCAUAAAAUAUUAUUUAUUCGAUUAUCAUAUUAAUAUAACAAAACUAAAUAUCACAACGAGGUCUAUAUGUCCAAUAAUGCAUAUUAUACGUAGACACUUAUAUUUUAUUUUACACGAGAAAUAUUAUGCAAUCCAACCUCAUCCGACUGCUUUGUCCUUUGAUAUUUGAUCAAACCGUAUAUUAUAUAAACAUUAUAUUAUGAUAAUAAUAUACUGUAUGUCUGUAUCAAUAUAUUAUAUUGAGUAGGCUAAAAAUGAAACUUAUAUGUUUUGAAAAUAACAUUUUUCUAGAUAAAAUAAAAAGACCGAGAAAAAGAUAUCUUGUAGAACGAUUAAAAUGACUUUUUUAUUUUUGGUAAUUAAGGAUAAAAAAAAAAAAAANAGGUUGAAGUUUAGAGAAGUGAGUUUUGGUAGUGGGAAUGGAAUACAUAAGUUUUGAUACCGUUUAAAUGGAUCGUAUGAUUUUCGACGCGGGUUAAAUAUGCUUCAGUAUCAAAACUCAUAUGAUCCAAUGGAACUUGUUACAGUUUUGAGUUACAAUUUUGUUAUUUACCGUUUUAAAUGUAGUCAUGUUUUUGUGCGUUUUGAAAAUAAUCGAUUUUACUGACUACAGAAACGGACUCGUCGUUGAAAAUCCUACACAACAGUGUCCCGAUAAACUAAUUUUUUCUAUUAUUAAUUUUAUUAUUAUAAAAAUUAGUCCAUAAAAUAUGCAAACGAUGGUACAAUGUCCACUGCGCGCAGCUUGUAUCGCGAUGUAAACGUAUAUUACUUGCAUAUUAUAUAACCAUAGUCCGCAGAGUCGUUCUCCGUUUCGUUUGUUAUUUCAAGAGUUUAAAAAAAAAAAAAAAAACCUAUAUAUUAUAAUAUAUAUUUUUGAUAAAAGCGUAUUUUUCAAUGGCAAUUGGAGUUGGCUUUUUUCAGUCAACUAUAAAUAUUAUUAAAAAAUGACGGAAUUUAUCAAAAAUUGUAUUCGAGUAUGUAAACGUAUUCGCGAUCAUUUAAAGUUUUUACGAUUAUUUGGUUACGCUGAAUUUCAUAAAUAUCACCGCCUCCCUUCCGAUAUAAAGACAAUUAUGAGGAACUAAAAAAAAAAAAAUCAUGUUCUUAAUAUAGUCUAAUUGGAGCAAUAUUAGUCGUAAGAGAAUUGUUUAAAAACGCGAAACGGUAAAAAAUUGAAAAAAAUACCCACUGAAAUACAAGAAAAGACCCAUAUGUUACAUAAUAAUGUUUAUGGGAUGUAUUGAAAAAAAAAAAGUAGAAAUUAAAUAUUACAUUUCUCGGUACGCAUAGAAUGAAUUCAUUACGGCGACACCGUCGUAUACACGUACAAACACGACUCACGAGCGCGUAUACUUGCGUACCUUGUAUCGUAAUAAUAUAUUAUUAUGAAUUAUGAAUAUUAUUAAAAACUAUAAUAUCACAGCCCAUAUUCACGAAACCGUCGUCGUAUAAUAUCGUACGGAAAACGAGAUUAUGAAUAUUAUUAAAAAAAUAUCACAGCCCAUAUUCGCGAAACCAUCGCCGUAUAAUAUCGUACAGAAAACGAGAUUGUUCGGUAAAACAUAAUAAUAUUAUUCUUAUUUUUUUUUUUUUUUUUUUUUUUUUUUAAUAUAGUAACACACUAACACAGUAUGGAAGCUCAUAAAUUAAUAAUCGCACAUUGAAAUAACUGGCCGCCGCCGCCGUCGUGGUUUACUUAUACUGCGUAGUAUACGUACAAUUUUAAAUUUCAUUUUUCAAUGUUAUGUUGUUCGAUAUGUCAGGCUCGUAGCCAAGAAUUUCCAAUUUUCAAAAAGGGUUCGUUAUUUUUCAUAAUGCACCCCUCCACUUUUUUAUUAAAACGGUAUACCUAAUUGAAACUAUUUUCUUUUCGUUAUUACAGUAGAUUCAUGUGAAAAGCACUCUCUAAUCGCUUAAAUUCCGUUUUGAGAACAUUUAAAAAAAAAAAAAAAACUUCCCAACUCUGUUGGUUGAAUAUAUGAAACGAAAAACAGGAAAUUCUUUUGAAUUUAAUUUCAGUUUAUUUUCAAAUAAAUUGUUAUAUUCAAAUAAUUAAGCACGAUCGUGUUUAUUUUGUUAUAGAUUUACAUAGCAAAUUAAUUUGAUCGCUGGUUAUUUAACGUUACAACUAGGUAUAGUUUUCAAAGUAGGUACUGUUGUACCACACGUUUUAGAUUCUGAGCGGAGCGAGGAAUAUAUUGGUUUCACAACGAUGUUUAUUCAUUUUGUUUUUCCGUGGUCAACUUUUUUAUCAAAUCGUAAAUAUUUCGGCUAUUCAAUAAUGUACAACCAAAAUCCGCUCACAGUCGUUUUUCGUUAUCAAAGAUUAAUCGUUGGAUACAUAUAUAUAUAUAUAUAUUAAAUUUCUCUCUAUAUCUUGCCUUCCGAACUUCUCGUCUACUGCAAUCUCUAUUGCAGUCUCUACACACCAAUCGCGCGGUAGUAUAUCCGUAUAUUUUUAGUCGAUUGUUUUGUAAAUGGCGUUUUUUUCGGCAACAAAUAAAUAACGACGGAACUAUCACGCCUUGUAUGAGUGUGCCCUGCAGGACAUAAUAUUGUCGGUCGAAAAACCGUUUCUCCGAGACAUUCACAUACUCAUAAUCUACUGGCGCGCAUCGCCGUCUCGGGUAUUGUGUAAACGCAUAAUAGUUAUCAUUAAAAAAAAAAAAAAAAUCACCGUUUUCGUAUAGGUACAUAGAGUUACAUAAAGGUUACAAUAACCUUUGGAUAUACAUAAUUCAUCGGCGAUGCGUUUCGGCCGGGACGUUUCCCACGGAGACGGUUUGGCGCGGUACGUCUCCGCACCUACAGUCGGCGGACACGACGGGAAAAUCAAAAGAAAAAAAAAAAUAAAUCGAAUAAUAAAAUGAGGAUACGGGUGGCCGCCGCCGCGCCGACGGGCGAUAUAUUCGAUCGGACCCGGCAACCCUUUUGUCGGCCUUUUACCGGACACGUUCGAAAAACCGGAUGUUCCACGUAUUGGUCCGCGGCGGCGUUUCCCAUCGCCGUCGCGCGGACACCGGUUUUUGUAUUCACGUCGAAAUUCUCACACCGGACACCGGCUAUUCUAUUAUUAUUAUUAUUGUUAUCUUCGUCGCCGCCGUGAAUCCCGAAUAUUUCAUUGUUGUUACGUUAUUAUUCCCGAUCGCGGUGCGCGUUCCCGAACAUUUGGCCGGUCGCGUUGCGAUACACGCGCCGGAAUUUCAGGUGUCCGCCGACCCCCCUUCCGGACAACAACAAUGGGACGAUUUCCCACGGACGGGCACGUCUUCCGAUGCCCUUUUGACCCUUCUAACCCCUUUUCCGUACCCUUUUUACAUUGCGUAAAUUACACGCGCUGUCCUUUUACUCGGACACUCGGAAUUGUUUAUUUUCUCUUACUCCACCCUCCCCCCCCCGUCAUGUGGCGUCGACUUCCGAUCGUGUGACCCGCACGAGCACGUUGCCACGUAAUACAUCGCCAUCGUAUUAUACUCGUAGUAUAAUUUUCGUUAUUUGUGUGUGUGUGUGUGUGAAGGGGGGGGAUAUAGUUUAUUAUCAUUUUAAUUAUUUUCGUUUUUUUUAAUUAUUUUUUUCUUUUAGUCAAUUAGUCGUCGCGCGUUAAUCAACCUGCACGUGCAGUUUUUGACAAUUAGCUCGUGUCGUCAUUAUUAUCCGUUGCCGUAGCCCUCUCGCGUUAUUUUUUUUUCCCCUUUGAACAUACCUACAUCGAAGCACGUGCGCUAAAAACAAUAGAAAACAUUAAAAAAAAAAGAAAGAGAGAAUUACAUCAUUAUAUUUAUACUACACGUGCUGAACGACCUAUUAUAAAUAAAAUAAGACUAACAGGUUUUCUUAUUUUACAUACUGCAACCUGCAGCAGCAACUAGUCAUGAUGGCACACACGUGUAUAAUUUAAUAAGUGUACCUAUAUAAUUAUUCAAUUUUACCAAAAAUUGAAAAAAAAAUAAUAAUUUCAUCACAAAGGACACUAUUAUAUAAUAUGCAAACAUUGGACUGAAUUGCAGUAGUCAAUGCAAAUCACUUGUUUCUUAAAUGUUCUAGAAAUCAAAUUUCGAAAAGAGUUAAUAUUAGAGCCCGGAUUUUUAUGCAAGUGCACGUUUUUCUGCUUAGAAUAAUUUUGAUUAAAAAUAUCGGAGUUUCGUAAUGUGUAGAUUCUUAUAGUCAAUAUUUUAUUUUGCAUAUUUUUGCAUAUUUAAGUAAAAAUGACUAUAAAUUACAUAUAUCUACAUAUUUGUAUGGGAGUUAUAUACUUUAUAAACGGUAAAUCAAUUGUUUUUUUAAAUUUUGCUCAGAGACGGUUUAACCUCUUGUAAAAGCUAUUUUGAAUUCUAAUUUCCAUCAUCAGAUAACUUCAGAUGAUUGUUUGGGCAGCGCGAUAGCAUAAAUUCUGUGAGCAUAUAAUAGGAAGUAUCGGAAGAGUCUAUAGUUUAUCGCUUAUUGGAUAAUGACUGGAUUUUUGGGUUAUUAGUCGGUGGCGAUUGCUCGUUGGUGUAAUCUGUCUGUAGUUUUUCAGCUCGUAUCAAAUAGUAUUUUGUUUAUUUAGUGUCAAAUAUUCUCAAGAAAAUGCCAACAACAGAAAAGUCGCAAUUUUACGUGAAUGAAUAUCUAGGUGUCUUUUUACAGAUGGAGUUCUAUUAUUUUGUAUUUUUUGUGAAAACAACGUCAAACAUGUGAUAGAUAAUCCUAGGUUACUCAACAUUUAGAAAUUUCAAAACACAAUGCCAAUAGCGUAGAUUGAAAUCAAAUAAAGACCAGGUAAGGUCAGACAUUUCUUGUUUUAAAUAUGCACCAUCAACGGCUUGUGACCCCGAAAGAAGUUUUUCUAAAUCUAUAAAUCUAUGCUAUGUGACAAUCGCAGAAGUUUUCAGUAUGAAAAUCUCAAAUCACGUUUUGUAAUUUCGUGUUGAUAUUCGUUCCAAAAUUAAUAUUUUACGGUUUCCGCGGUUAGUUUUAUAAUUAUACAAACAUGAUAAUUGAUAAAUAAUCAUUAAGUGUAAUAGUUUGGAUUUUUAAUUUUAAUUGUAUCUUAAGAAUAUUUUUGUGGUUUUCAUUAAAACGUUAUCGUCCAUAAAGAUUAUUCUAUAAUAAUAGUACCAUAACAGCGGUAUUUUGUCUCUAAAACCGUUUUUAAAAGCCCUUCUCGGUUGUUUUACGUCAACACAUUUUAUUCUUAUGCACGUUAUCCGUUCGGCAAACACGGCAAUUGCCAACGUGACGACCUUUCAAGUGUAUAAAUUGUCAACUCUAAUAUGUUCAGUGCAGAUAUGCAUAUGUUCUAAAACCAUUAAAUAUAUUUUAUUUGAUUGUUAUAGUUAAUCCUAGUGAAAAUACUCCAUGGUUUUUGAUGCAUUAAAUUAUUUUAUGCAGUAAUUUGAAAUUUGAAAUAUUAAAAAAAAAAAAAAAAAAUAAUAAUUGUAUUGGUAAAAAGUAUUUUAUUAAUACAAAACACGGGAACUAAAUAACAUAUUAUAAUAACAAUUUGCUAAUCUUUCGAUUGAUCUGUCUUGAUUUGUGGCGUUGAAAAUGUCGUAAAAAUGUACGAAAUCUUUAUUAAGUAGUACCGAAAUACGCGAGAUAAUUUUGUUGACGUCGAGUCGUUAUAGGUCACGCCAAACACAUUUUGAUACAAACUAUAGCUAUAUUUCUAUUUAUUUAUUUUUUUGAUUAACCGAUAAAAAUAUGCAAAAGCACAUUGUAAAUGUCUGCUUUAAAAUCAGGUAUAACGACAAAUAACACGUACUUAGUAGUAAAUAUUAUAAUAUACUACCUGUGGCCGACGACGAGGUGGUUCGGUCCGAAACCGGUCGUCGCGGGGUUGUUUAAUCGUCGGUUAAUUGAAAAAUUAAUAUAAAAAUAAUACAUUCGAAAUCAUUAUAAAUACUAUUAAGAUAAAUUGUAAUACGCGAUUUCCGCGACGCAUGUCCGUUCAAACUCGGGAAAUUAUUAUCAUUUUUGUUUUUUUAUUGAAUUGCGAAACUAGCCGACUGUUUCAGGUAAAAAAAUUAACGUCCUUUGUGCCGUUUCGUCCUUGCGUGCGCCGCUGGCGAACGUUUUCCAGAAAGUCAACUGGUAUUUUGUAUUUUUUUGUAGUUGUUUUUUUUUAUACAUAUAAAAACAUGGUAAUGUUCAGUUUAGAUUAAUGUGAAGGAAUAGGGGAGGUCGAUAAUAUGAUUUAUUACGCAUACUUAACAGUAAAUAAUAUUUUAUUACAGGUUUUCCAGAAUCUCGAAACUAACUGCAUGCUAUAUACCAGGUGAUUUAUUUAAGUGUGUACACUCAUUAUCUCGGAAUUAUUAACUUUUUCCUGAAUUUGUUUUCUAGAACAUUUAAGAACCAAGUUGCGCCACAAUUUUAUAUUUGUGCUAUUUUUUGUCACCCUUAUUUUUGGGGGUAAAACAACUACCUAAUUUUGAUUUUCAAAUGGCAACCCGUAUUAAAAAGUUCAUAAAUAGAUUUUAUAAAAACACGGACGCCAUUUUCUACCAGAAAAAAAUCAUUUAAUCAAAAAUUCAUAAGACACUAUUUUUGUUGCCUUUUUGAUUUAAUUUCUUGCGGUAUCAUCGGUAAAACUUUUGAGCUUUUAAGGGAUUUUAAUUUUUGGGAGUUUUUUUGCUGUAAUUCGGUUAUAAACUCAUGUAGAGACUUGAAACUUGGUAAUAAUACUUAUAUUGGACUCACCUAGACGAUGUAAAAUUUUUAAAAUCAUUGGACAAGCGUUUUGAAAUCGAAUUUAAACGAAAAUCGCAAAAUAAAUUACGGCACUUUAGAUUAUGUAUUAUCGAACUGCGCUCAGAAUCGUCUUUCGUCAAGCAAUGGUUUAUCGUUGCUUACAGAUAUAAAUGAAAUAACCUUAUGUAUCCUACCUUUCCGAUUUCUCACCUACAACAGUGGCCGCUCCCAUCCCCAGUAUUAGCUCUUUUUCAACUUUAAAGCGAAAAAAUGUAUUCAUAAUAUCUUAAUACUAAUCAAAAAUAAAAUUGAUCAAUUAUUUUUUAAUUAAAUAUAAUUUAUAAAAAAAACACUGUGAAAUUUAUUAAAAGAGUUCAAAUAUAGGUGCAAAAAAACGGACAUACUUCGCACGACGGGUUGGCCACUUUUGUAGGUGGAAAGUUUGGAAAGCAGGAUACGUAAAGUUAUUUAAUUUAUAUCUUGUACAUAAUGAUAAGCCAUUAUUAAUGAAAAACGAUUCGGAGCGAAAAUCGGUAAGACAUAUUUUGAAAUGCAAUAAUUUUUAUGAUUUUAGUCAAUAUUUGAUAUUAAAAUUCUUAUAAAAAUGUAAUACAACAUUAACUUCAAUUUUUAUUUUUGACCACGAAGUACGACUUAUAAUGAGCCUCCUCUUAAAUUUUCAAGCAUUUCUAUUUAGUCAAACAAUUUUACCCACAAGGUGCCUACCGAAUAAAAAUCUCGAUAAAUAGCUUAAAAAUGGUUCAAAUAUUUUGCCACGUCUAGAAAAGGUAAAUAUUAGUUUUCAGUUCAAAUUUCAAGUCUCUACAUUUAUUUUCAACUGAAUUACAACAAAAAACAAAAUUAAAAAUACAUUCGUACAUUUUUUUAUUUUUCCCGGGUUUUCCCGAUUAUUAUGAAAAUCGCUUAGAAAAUCAAAAAAAUUACCUUCCUAAAGUACCGAUUUGAUAUAUGUUUUAUUCCGUGCUACACUUGAUACACAACAUUUUUGGUAGAAAAUAGUUGUUCAUAGAAAAAAAGUCAAUAACAAAAUAAAAUAAACAUAAUUGUAAAACCAAUUCCUCGUUACGCUCCCAAUCUAAAAUGUAAAUGUCAAUAAUACAAUAUUAUAAGUAGGUGUAUAAAAUAUUAAACAGCUCAAUAAAAAAUUAUUAUUUAGACAACGUUUUCUAUGAGUUUAAAAAUAAAAAUGCUGCCAUAAUGGUACCUGUAUAACUCAGUAGUAAUCAGUAACCACAAUAGAUUUAUUUCAAGGCAUCUAAGCUUAUAGCACGAUGCUGUUAUUUCGGUAAAAAUAAUUAUAUUUUAAAUUGGGGGUGCCGGCUCACCUAGGUGCCCGCUUGGCUUCACGCCUGUAUAUACGGGAUUAAUUUCUAUAACCGAAUUCCAACAAAAAAAAAAAAAUAAAAUAAAAUAAAACAAUGACGCUAACAAUAACAUCCGUUUUUGCAAAAUCAGUAUUUAGCGGCUAAGAAACUGUUUAAGAAACUGCCGUGCAAAAUGUCAUGUUUCCAGAUCAAAUGUGCGUCGGUAUGUCGGUGAGCAUAACGAAUCUCAUUAUCUCAUUAUACGUGAUAUAUACAUUCACGGUUUAUAGUUAUUAUUUAAGUGAAUAAAAUUUCGCUGUCGUUAAAUUAACGUAAUUACCGAAUAUGGGCUCCAUUAAUUAUAGAUACAUCAAGAUUAAGAUUGUGUUAAACAGUCGUUAAAUUAUUUAUUCCGUAUAUGUAAUAUUAUGUGUGAUAGCUGAGAGUUGACACUAAUUUGUUGUACGAAAAAAAAAAAAAUUAAAAAAAAAAAAAAAAACAUUAAUGAAACAUUUUACAACAUACACAUAUAUAUAUAUAUGUAUAUAUGAAUUGGUAUACCUAAUCUAUAAAAUACAAAUUACGUAAAUGAGUAUAAAAUGCAAAUAAGUGUUAUUAUAGAUACCUAUAAUAACAUAUAUGGCAGUGGUAAGCUGUGUGCACAUAAAUAAUACAAAACAAAAAAAAAAAAAAUCUAAAAUCUGACUGUAUGACAAUUUUAACACUAUACACCGAGGAAAGAUGUUAAUAGAUUGAAAAUUUAUAUACACAUAUAUAGAUAAAAUAAUUAUUAAUGUUCUGACGAUCUAAAAACUAUGUAAAAAAUAACAUUUGAUCACUAUCCAGAAUUAGUAAAAAUGCAUAAUACGUUUGAGUACUACUGUAUAAGUAUGAUUAUAUUAGCAUUUUUAAAUUAUUACUUUAAAGAUUUCAAAAAUCUUAGUCGGCAUUAAUCAAUUUAAUUUUAAUAACGAGAUUUAAAUUUUUUAUUAGAAUAUGUUAUACAGAAAAACAGAUAGGUAAUACAAAUAUUUCUUUACAUUAACAUCCUCGUCACUUUCAAAUACAUAACACGUUUUGAUACUUAAAUCGUACUCAAAUACUGGUAUAAUCGCAUUGCUCAAUUUUCCUAUCUUUUUAAUUUUUUUUUUUUUAGGUUUUUACCAUUCAUUAAUAAUAUUUUCAAUUUUUUUUAUAAUACUUUCGCGAUGUUUUAACUUUUACCCGAAUUUUCAUGACAUAUUAUAUUGCAGUAGAAUCCCUAAUAUUAGUCGUUAUAUUUUACUAAAAAAAAAUAUACCUACUCAUUACCUUUUUUUUUUUGAAGGUAACUUGGUUUAAUUUAAGUUUGGCGGUAUCUGACCGAUCAAUCAUACGCGAAUUAUUUGUAGGUGUAUUUAAAUGUCUUGCCGUGAUAUACUAUUUUAUUAACAAUACAAAUCGCGGAUAUAUUAAACGUAUUUAACAAAUAUAACAAAAAAAAAAAAAAAAAAACACGAAAACUCCUCACGUUAAAUAUGCACUAUAAUACGACGUCGACUGAUUGCGACUACCAUACUCUAAUAUUGUAAUGGUUACAUUGAAAAUGGCCACUAGCGAUUAGCCAGUUUUUAUUAAAUAUUAUUAUUUGUAAAUAUUUGUUACAAACGUACCGGUAAACCGUAUAUUUUGCGAAAUAUCUAUCAGUAGGUACAGCGUAUUCCGUUUGUCAGGUAUACCCAACAGCAAAAGAGCAGUGCGUUAUAGUCAGUGGCGUAAUUGAAAUUUCUAAUUCCCUCGUCAAAAUAUUGUAUUUAGACCCUGAAGGCCACUGCUAGGACGUCCUCAUCAGCUGUGGACCCGUGCCAUUUGCUCGACUUGCCCACCCGGUAUUUACGCCGUUGGCUAUAGUAUCAAUAGGUAUUACCGUGACAAUAAUCGUCGACCGAUUAAUGAUUUGAUUUAACAUUUUUUUAUUAAGCUUACUUUUGAUAGCGCUGGGAACAAAAUGUACACGGUUUCGCGACAAUAUUUUUGAAGUCGCCUCUUAAUCAACGCCUUAAUAGAAACUCUUAAUGAUGAUUACGAUGCACGUAAGCUUGUGUCUUGAUACAUUUUAAACCUGAUGGUUUAUUAUAAUAUCUGAAAAAAAUGAAACAAAGGAUUUAAAUAAAAGUGCAUAUUCACCCUGGAUGUCUUUCUCGCCUAUUCGGCUUUCGAAGGUCGACCUACAUCUCAGUUCCAAAUCCACAACCUUCGUUUAUGAAGGUUAAUUUGACAAAACUCUUUUGGUUUAUUAUGAUGUGGUUUUCUCCUGAAUUGAACAUUCCAUACAUCAACCCUUUGUUAAAUUCGUAUUUUUUUUUAUUUUUAGCUCACCGUGCGAUUGAAAUGCUAAACAGCGACAAGUUCAAUGGUCGGCCGAACGAAAUGGCGUGGUAAAGCCGCCGAACGAGUGAUUGUGUUUAUUAAUAAAGUAAAAUUAUAUAGUUAUUAUGUUUCCGGUACUUAUUGUUCAUUGAAUUAGAAUACCUAAUGUUUUUUCUAUUAUGAUUCCUUAUAGAAACGAAGUGUUGUUGACGCAAUAACCUUGAGUCACC